UUUGCUGUUUCCUUCGAGUUGCUGCUCCAGCGUUUUGUUUUUUGCUUUUGUGCUGAAGUAUUUUUCCUGUUCUUUCAUUGUGCUUCCAUUGUUUUUGUUGGUUUCCUAUUGUGGGUUUUGUUCCAGAUUUUCCGUGCUGUUUCAUUUAGCAUCACUGCUGCAAGUUUUUCUGAGUUUUUUGUUGUCGUUUUUCUUUUCCGCUUUUUUGGUUAUCUAUAUCUGUCUCUUAACUUUUUCUUUUUAAAAUAAAAGAUGGACAUUUUUAAUCGUAGUGCACAUUUUAUUUUAACAUUGUAGACAUUAAUUUAAUAAAAAGUGAACAUUUUUUAUUACAGGAUGACAUUUUUUACAUGGUGAUCGAUUUUUAAUUGCACCACGAACAUUUGUUAAGAACGGUGAAACAAUUUUUUAUACACAGUGGAUGAUUUUUAAUACAUGGCAAAGAUUUUUUAAAUAUGUGCUGAAUAUUUAUUGGAAGACCCAACGAACUAUUUACUAUGCUUAAAUAAUUCUAGAAAAACCAUGGCAAGAAAACCACAAAAAAAAAUCACCAACACAUGAAUGUACCACCAUCUCUCAUAAAAGAUAGUGAGGCUGACACUGGGAAGCCACAUCAACCAGAACUGGGCCCUCGGCCCAUCAUUGCUAAAGAAUGCGCCACCUCUCAUAUAUGACGUUAAUGAGCGUUACAUAGGAGGUCUCAUAAAAAGUGGUCUAUUGGCUGCUUCAAGAUAAUACGCAAGCUUCUGAAGUUUAAAUUUUUAUCAAAGUGGACCCAAUACGAAAGCCCACAUGAAAGGCUUUAGGGCGAGCAUAGCCAAAACUUUUCAUUAGUAGAUCUCUAGCUUGCAUAUUUUUCUCAAAUAGUUGUUCUAGUAUUAACAGUAUGGAAUAACUACAUUCUAGAAUUUUAUAGGGAUGCCACAUGGUUUUAGUUUUUGCGUGGUCCUGGAUGCAGAUGAGCACAUCCUUAGUGUCAUUUUUAUUUGCAAAUCACCUUUGUAAAGUAUUUGAAGAAAAUAGGAUACUUGGUUCCACAACCGAAGGGGUUGAACUUGGUGGCUUCCCACACUAGUAGAAAAAGGGCAUUUAGUCCCGGUUCAUAAGGGCCUUUAGUCCCGGUUCUGGAACCGGGACUAAAGGGUCGUUACUAACGCCUCCCCCUUUAGUCCCGGUUCUUACACGAACCAGGACUAAAGGCCCUCCACGUGGCCGCUGCCUGGAGGUCCACCUUUAGUCCCGGUUGGUAACACGAACCGGUACUAAAGUAAAUUUUAUGAUUUUUCUUGAAAUUUUUUUUUGAAUUUUUUUAUUUUCUUUUUUGAUUUUCAAAUUUCUGAAUUAUUUUAACCUUCAAUCUCUAAUUACCCCUCAUCACUGCUCAAUUUAACAUCUAAUCUCUAAUCACCCCUCAUCAUUCUAAAUCAUCUAACUUCUCGGACGGUCACCCAUCCUCUCACUACUCCAGCCUGAGCACGCUUAACUUUCAGGUUCUAUUCUCCCUCGUUUCCAAGUCUGCACUUGUUGUUUUCCUGACAAUAGUAAGAUGUCAAUCCUAUUAACCCUCAGGAAUUUAGCUUGAGCAUGAAGUCACACAUUUCACUGUUUGAGUUUGAAACUAUUGUUCUAAAAAACAAUAAUUAUUUAGUAACACUAAUAUUUCUUGAAUAAGUAGUUUGACCAGAUUUGACCAAAAUUCAAAAAAACUGAAAUAAUUAUUUAGUAACACUAAUAUUUUUGAAUAAUUAGUUUGACCAUAGUUUGACCACAGUUUGACCAGAUUUGACCAAAAUUCAAAAAAACUGAAAUAAUUAUUUAGUAACACUAAUAUUCUUGAAUAAUUAUUUAGUAACACUAAUACUUCUUGAAUAAGUAGUUUGACCAUAGUUUGACCAGAUUUAACAAAAAUUAAAAAAAAGAAAUUUGAGCAUAACUUUUUUUCCUUUUAGAAUUUGAGGAUUCUAAAAAUUUGCUAACAGGUCGGCCGUCAAAAUCGGAUGCGGAUUUUCGUGCUGAACAUUUUGAUAUAUUAUACUUUUUGCAAAACAUGUCCAAAUUUAAGUUUUUAAAUUUUCCUAACUAGUAUAUGUAGUAACAUAACUACAUCUGGAAGGAUUUUAAUUUUUGAAGUUUUUAUCAUUUUCUUUUGCUUUUUACAAAACUGAAAAACCGAUCCACCGGGGUGGGGGGGCAGAGUUUGAAAAUGGGACCUUUAGUACCGGUUCGUGCCACGAACCGGUACUAAUGCCUGAAACCCCAUUAGUACCGGUUGGUGGCUCGAACCGGGACUAAAGGUCUAACCUUUAGUACCGGUUGGUGCCACGAACCGGUACUAAUGGGCAUCGCACCCUUUAGUCCCGGUUCGUGGCACCAACCGGGACUAAAGGUCCCAUUUGAACCGGGACUAAUGCCUGUACGGUGCCCUAGCCGCUCGAACCGGGACUAAUGCUCACAUUAGUCCCGGUUCGUAAUGCAACCGGGAUUAAUGCUCUUUUCUGGCCGAACCAAAGGCAUGUUUUCUACUAGUGCCAUAGGAAGAUACUGGACAAAUUAAUAUGAAAACUAGAGAACAUGGAAGGUAUGUUACACUCGUAAAAUAAGAGCGUGAAAUGUUUUUUGAAAGUACUAAUACGUUUGUGCUAGUGGCUAUCAAGUUGUUCUUGCCAAUACUCCCAAUGAAGUGGAAGGAAGAAAAUCCAUCUCGAUGGUCAAGCCACCAUUGCAAUAUUAAGACCACUGAUACCAGAAUAAUCCGACCAUUUGAGCAACAUGGAAGAUGCACAUAAUGUUGACAAUUGUUUAGGAGAUUCCUGAAUGUACAACUUCCAUCAAAGAUUCCAAAGUUUCUAUGUUGACGAGCCAACUUAACAUCUUCAUAAUUGCCAAGGUAUAUGGUGUUGUCACAACUACAAGGUGGUCGGGUGUGCACAGCAGGGAUAGAGACAUAUGAUUGUCUGCAUAUUUAAGUAUGGUUGAUGUCAUUUGUGCGUGGAGAAGAAAAUAGAUAUGAGGAAGGAAGGAAAGAUGUCAAUGGUGAGGUGGCAUGGUAAAGCAAGUGAUAUGAGUGAGGCAGUGAUCGACUGUUGCUAUCGGGUGCCGGCCAAAGGAGGUAGAAUGGGUGGAUGGGAUGCCAAGAAAAUAGUUUUAGUGAAUUUAUCUAUAAUUUUUCCUAAUAUAUUUUUCUAGUACAGACAUGGAAUGUGUGUCAUUCCAUUAUUUUGGUCAAUGCAAUAUAUAUAGGACAAAUUUUAUCUACCACCAGUGGUAGUUACCACCACUUGAAUUUUAUAUGUUAUAUGUAGUAUCUAUCAAAUCGGAGAGUAUGUACGCUUAAUAUGUAGUAUAUAAGAAUGUUUAGGUAGUAUAUAUACUAUUUUUUGGUAGUAUGUAUCUUAUUUUGAGUAUGCUCUCUUUUACGUACAAAUAUGUACGUAUUUCACAAAUAUAAGAAAAACCAUGGGCCAACUUGCAAUUUUUCAUAUAACUCACUUUGGAGUAUCUUAUAUAUAGUAUAUGAACAUACUUAAAAUGAUAAAGUAGAAUAUAUACUACCACAUGGUAGUACAUGAGACAUGUGGGGUAACUACCCCCAGGUGGUAGGAUGGAUUUUCCCCAUGCAUGACCAUUUCUCUAUAUAUGUCUACAUGUCCUUGAUGCAUCCACGUGGAAUAGCUAUCAGUUGUAGGUCAGAACUUCUACCUACAGUCAUCCCAAAUUUUUCAGACAUAUCCAAUGACUCUGGACUUGCCCCACCAGGAAGCACCCAAUCAAAGUGGUAGAGCAGGUUUGCCAAAGUGAUCUCUAAGGUUGAUGCGCCGAAUAGCAUCCCAGGACAUUGCCUUCGUCCAGCACCAAAGGGGGUGAAUUCAAAAUGUGUCCCAUUGUAAUCUAAGUUGUUGUUCUCAAACCUCUCUGGCAAAAAGGCUUCAGGGUUUUUCCAGUACUUUGGAUCCCUAGAAACUGCAAAGACAUUAAUUAAUAUAGUGGUGCCUUUAAGCAGCUCAUAACCCAUAAUUUUAAAUCCAUUCUGGCCAUCCGUGGGAUUAGUGGAGCUGGUAGGUGCAACCUAAGAACCUCCUUAAUGACCAUUCGCAUGUAGUGGAGGUUUCCAAGGUCACUAUUUUUUAUGGUUGUUCGAUCUUGACCUAAUACUUUUCUUAUCUCUAGUUGAGACUUAAAUAUUGUUUCAGGAUGACGGACGAGCUCUGACAUAGCCCAUUCCAAAAUUGUUCCUGUGGUAUCUGUGGCACCAGAGAAUAUAUCCUGCAAAUGAAAAUUAAGGUAUGUUAAAUUAGAUCAUACUUCUAUAUGUCGCACUUAUAAUGAAACAAUUUGUGAAACAAAAUAUAUCAUUUGAAAAAUUGUAUGUGGUAUUUUGAAGUGAACUAUAGGAUUUUUUACAUACUUUGAAGCCUAAAUCCCAUUACAAAUAUUUUGUGAACAUUUCGAGGCACUCAAGGCAAGUAACUUCUCAAAGUAUGAUAUCAUGUGAGGCCAUAUGCCUCCCCUCGGGUUACACUUGACAGAGAAAGAGGUGAAAGAUCACAAUUGCAAAAAUGGGACACUCAAGUUUAUGAGAAUAUGAUUUCUGAGUGGUUUGAUCAGGAUGUUUGUUUAUUCUUAUAGAAAACAUCACCACUUUAUAGUCGAUGUAGGCAUCUCUAUAGUGGCAAAAGGAAAAAAGCAAACUUAAUAAAGCAACAUAGGUUAUCUUCAUGAUCUUUCACAAAAUUCUUAGCAGCGCAUGAUUUCCUCGAUUGCUAAUGAUGUGAUGAAACUUACAAAAACCCAUUUCAUGCUAGGAAAAUAUUGUGGAAGGGCUUAUUAUUCAUGGGUUGCAUCAAAAGACAAGGGAUUCUCAAAAUUGUUUUUGGCGAGACUUAUGACACUGUAAAGUGGAUGUUCGUUCCACAACCAAUGUUCAUGGAAUCUUUCGCCUUUAUGUGAUGUCACUUGAAGGUAAAAUGUAUGCAAGGUGGGUUCUUCGGUGUGAAAAUCAAUGAUGAUCUAGAACAUUAAUUCCAAGAAUAAAAAGAUCUCCAUCAAGGGUUAUUUAUUUUCAUCAGUGUCGCUCAACAUUAUGGCGGAUAUGUUGGUUGCAAUAUUAAAAGAAAGAAGGAUUAAGGUCAGUGCCAUGGUGUUCCACCCAGGUGGGUCAUGAUAGAAUAUAUGUACUCAUUAUGAGGUUCAUACCCUUAUAUUGCUACACCAUGAAAAUGGAUAGGCAAAUAACAUGGCGUCCGUGUUAUGAGUUUCUUUGAAAAUACUUAACAGUAAAGAUUAUAAUUUUCCACAAGGGUGAAAUCCCAUAAAGCUAACGGAUAUAGUGUGUGGACAACAUCAAUGUCUAGGUGUUUGUUUUGUCAAGUAUGUUUUUUUCCUUAUAUUAUCUUGUAUUCGGAUCUUCUACAUGUGUCUUCACAAUAGUGAUUGGAAAGCAAGAGACUAUUGAAUUCAUUCACACUAUUUUUCACAUGUUUAUGAGGUCAUUUCUGAGAUAUCCAAGCAGAAUCUAGAAGAGAUCCUAUUUCAGCUCUAGCAUCUACCGGCAGAGCAAAAACUCAAAAAUACAAAUAAAUUUACCAAGAAGAUUCAUGUGUCUAGGAAAGAACUAGAGAGGUCUUAGAAGAAAUGAUUUGAAUUUAGGACUACUAUCAUUUUAAGAAAUUAUUUUUAAUUCCAAAAAGGUUACAAUUUGUGAUAUGAUCUCCUAAUGUAUAUGUACUCAUGGAGUGUGCCGCUUUCUCUUGCAAAGUGUGGGACUAUGCAUUAAAUUUGCUUCAAAUAGCCCACUCUGUUUUGAUAUAUUUUCCUUGUUUUAGAGAAUUAUUGUUUGUAUCCAGUUUUUUCUUGGAUUUCUUUGAACAAGUUUGCUAAUUUGUUCUUCAAGUAGUUUUUUUAGGAAAUAAAAUCAUUUAUAUACUUCCUUUAGCAAAUGGCCUGGAAGUAUCGUGAUGCUUAGCCAUUCUUUCUUUUGUCCGACCUUUUUAAACAUUCUGAUAAAUAUAGGAAAACGCCAGUGCCUAGGUGGAAAAGAUGGGCUUUAAAAUGUCGAAAGGGAAAAUAAAGAAAAAUAAAAGUGAAUGGAUUGAAGAGUAAAUUGAGCUAGAAAAAUAAAUAAAUAUGUGUUUUUCCUUUUUAUUUGAUGACUGAAAAUAAAUAAUCUACAAAAUAGGUACAAAUGAACUCUGAGAAGACCAGGAAUAGUAACAUAGGAUAUUUGGAACAUUUAAAAGAUCGGACAAAUCUUCCAUGGUCAAAAACCAAGCAAGUAUAUAUAUGUGUAUUUAUAACUUUAUAUUUCGACAAUUAGAGAAAUAUAUUUAUAUGUCUUGUCAGGUAGUAAUAUGGUCUGGCCAUACGUAGUGGACGGGUGUACAAUGAGCAUAUGGGAGCCAAUGAUAAGAUAUUGUAGUUGGCUACCAUGAAAUUUAUAUUUCUAACUAAGGUUUUUUUAUUCCAGUUUUUUUUGGGGGACGGGCUAGAAUACCUAUUUUCGGUAAAUCAUGGAAUAUUUUAGAUUGAAACUUUUGAAUGAAUUAUUUAACUUUAUGUUGCAUUAAAAUAUAUACUAUUUGACAUCACUUAGACGAAUACUCUCUUCUGUUCCAUUGGUCAGCACAUAUGCAUGGCCUUCUUCCCAUAGUUGCAGAAUUGUCAUAGACACCGCACGUUUACACCAGUAAUAUAGUUGUGAUAAUACAUGCAUACUUAUCCUAUUUGACACAAUUAUAGUGUUUCAAUUCAAAUUCAUUUGAAUAUUAUCAAGUGUUACCACAGUUUCUCGGCGGUCAUCAAAUUUUCCUGUAACAGGUGGAUUACCAGAAAUUCUGACCAGAAAGAAAUAAUCUUGACAUAUAUGACAUAGAUAAUGGUAACUAAAUGGUUAAUGAUUUAAGUUUGUCGGGACAAAAGUAAUCAAUCUUUCCUAUCUGGUAUCAUAUGUAUGCAUCUGUUACGAGUAGAAAAAGCUUGCUUGUUAAGAAUACUCACAAAUAAGACGGCGCAUAUGCUCUUUGUGGUUAGAGGGAAUUCCAACGAAUCAUCGUUCUGUAGCCUGAGCAGCACGUCCAGCAGGUCCUCGUCAUCGGUGCUUGAGGCCCCAUCACCAGCAGCUCGCGCGGCCUUGCGCUCCUCAAUCACGUCGGCGAUGAUGCGCUGCAUGCGGCCGUAGCUCUUCUUCAUGCGCCGCGCGCCAAAGCUGAGCCACCGUGCCAACCGUGACGACGGGAAGAGGUCGACGAGGCAGAAGCCGCCCAGCAGGGUGAGCACCACGUCCAGCUCGUGGAUGUACUCGUCCUGCUGCGUGAACCUGCCGCCGAACACCGCCUGCGACACGACGUUGUUGCUGAGCUCCAUCAUUUUCUCGCUGAUGUUGAUGCUGUUGCGGGCCGCCGCGGCGGUGGCGAUGUCAGCCAGGAGGUUGCCCACCUCCUCUGGCCGGAUGCUCUCCAUGCGCCUGACCUGCACGGAGCUGAGCAGCUCCACAAUGCAGACCUUACGCAUCUGGCGCCAGUGGUCGCCGUAGGGAGCAAAGAUGAUGCCCCUGCCGCCACAGCCGGCGAUGUCCUGCGUCGGGGUGCCCGGCCGGGUGGCAAACGUGAGGUCGUUGGUCUUCAUCACCUGGGCCACCGCCUCGGCGCUGGAGACCACCACGGCGUCCACCUCGCCUAGCUUGAGGUGCAUCAUUGGCCCAUAUCGGCGACACAGCUGCGUGAUUUUCCGGUGUGGGACGAGGCUGACUACGUGGUGGAGGCUACCCAUGAUCGGGAGAGUCCAUGGCCCUGGCGGCAGCUGGUGCUUCUGUGGCUUGUUCUUGCCGCCGGCGAGCUUGAGAAGCCAAAGGGCAAGCGGCAUACCUAGUGCUACGAAACACAAGCUGAACCACCCCUCCAUAGCAGGCAGCUUGCAUUGGCAAGUGCAGUGGUAGUGGUACUGAUAACUUACCUGUCUGGACUCUGCAUAUAUAUAUAAAUGUAUAAAAGCAUGCAUGUUCUUUUUCUGGCGAGAGAGGAGCUUUCUCUCUCCGGCUGCUAAGUGAGUAUACAGUAUGAAAGUUUGAGCCGUUUUCUCUUGUCAAUUGGUCUCGGCGAUGGGGUUAGUACAAAAGGCAUUACACGCAUCAAACUCCACUUUGUACAUUUCAAAUCAAUUUAGUUCUAAUUUUUUCCCAGUUAAAUUUCUCUAUAGAAAAAUUAAUGAGCUAAUAUGUAGGAGUACAACACAACCAAACUAUAUUUAAUGAUGCAUAUAGUGGAACUAAUUUGGGAUUGUAAAUGUUGACUUAUAACAAAGCUCUAUGACUUUAAAUAAGUUAUGGCGAAGAAAGAGAGAGCGGCGUUUGGUUCCUGGGCUUAGAUGAGCCCGGGUGUGAACAGUAAAUUCGUUAAAAUAGCAAAAAAAAAAUCCAAAAAUCUUUUUUUGUGAUGAAAGAUGUUUGAGUGCGAGAUGUCCGUGCCAAAUUUGGUGAAGUUUGGACAUUUUAGGAGCUGUCUGCAAAAAAACAAUCAGGCAUGUGAGGAAGUUUGAUGUUCUGCACUGUUCGGAGGUCGUUUUGUCUCUUUUGACAAGGCUCAUCGAAUGUCCAAACUUCACCAAAUUUAGCACGGGCAUCACGAACUCAAACAUGUUGCACAAAAAAAUUGGAAGCUAUGUGGUGAAGCUUCUGGCAAUAUUGUUCUGGUUUAUAGCACUAUGGGUCUGGUUUGGUUUGUGAUUGCAUCUUCCUUCAAAAAGCAUACAAGUUGUUUUUUCCGCCAGAUGUAUCUUUUAAUACUAAAACAUACAUGCUCUUUUUCUGGCGGCUAUGUGGCGAAGCUUCCGGCAGAGAAGGUUUCUCUUUUCUGGCUGCUAGCUGAGUAUGAACGUUUGGGCCGCUUUCUCGUUUCUGGCUGCUAGCUGAGUAUGAAAGUUUCGGCUGCUAAGAUUGCAAAUUGGUUUCCCUGGGUUAGUGCAAAAGUCAUUAGAAGCAUCGAACUCCACCUUCUCCAUUUCAAAGUAAUUGAAGUUCAUGAGCUAAUACAUACAACCAAAGUUUUAAAUAGCGCGCUAAGCCACUUCUAAAUGCUAUAGCGUGCUAUAGCGAUGCUAUAGCGCGCUAUUUAAAAUGUUUACUCAUGUAUUUGGACAAAAGACCCUUAGCGCAAGACCUUUUCUAAACGCUAUAGCGUGCUAUAGCGGUGCUAUCUCGCGCUAUUUAAAACUAUGCAUACAACACGACCAAAGUACAUUUGAUGAUGAUGGUGAAUUAUGCCUGAUAGCAAACCUAGGAAUUUAUAUAAUUUAGAGCGAAGAAAGAGGUCUAGUACUGUACACUAUUUUUGUCAUCAGCAAUCUAGCCGCCAAUAAUUUAAAUUUUGUCAUACUAUCUUUAAAUUUUGUCAUCAGCAAUCUAGCCGUCACCAAUUUAGUUCUGUACACUAAUACAUCUCGACUAGUAUAUAGUUGCAUACACUAGCCAGUUCAUGAGUCAUCAGGACUUGGAGGUGAUCACAUCACAUACAUAUACCGCGUCUCACUCCAAGCUGCGCUUGCCAACAGCUUGUAGCCUGCCAUGGAGGGCUGGUUAAGUUUGUGUUUCAUAGCACUAUGCACGCUAGUGGCCCUUUGGUUUCGCAAGCUUUCUUGUGGAAACAGAAAGCCACGGCUGCCUCCUGGGCCAUGGACUCUUCCGAUCAUCGGCAGCCUCCACCAAGUCGCCAGUGUGCUCCCGCACCGCAGGAUGAUGGACUUGUCACGUCGGUAUGGGCCGCUGAUGCACCUUAUGCUCGGCGAGGUCCCCACGGUGAUCGUCUCCAGCGCCGAGGCGGCGGCGUUGGUGAUGAAGACCAACGACCUCGCCUUCGCUGGCCGGCCGCACAGUGCGACGCUGGACAUCUUCAGCUGCGGCGGGAGUGGCAUCGUCUUCGCCCCCUACGGUGACCCAUGGCGCCAGAUGCGCAAGGUCUGCACCAUGGAGCUCCUCAGCUCCAAGCAGGUGAGGCGUAUGGACGGCAUCAGGCCAGAGCAGGUGGGCAACCUUCUCCGUUAUGUCGUGGCCGCAGCAUCCACGGGCGCCGCCGUCGAUGUCAGUGAGAAGGUGAUGGCGCUCAGCAACGACGUGGUGUCGCGGGCGGUGUUCGGCGGCAAGUUCCCGCAGCAGGAAGAGUACCUAUGAGAGCUGGAUGAGGCGUUCGUGCUGCUAGGUGGUUUCUGCCUCGUCGACCUCUUCCCGUCAUCGCGGCUGGUGCGGUGGCUGAGCAACGGUGAGCGCCACAUGAGGAGGAGCUAUGGCCACAUCCAACGUAUCAACGCCGACGUCAUCGAGGGGCGCAAGGCGGCGCGAGCUGCCGCACAGGACGAUGAUGACUUGCUGGACGUGCUACUCAGGCUGCAGGAGAAGGACGCGUUCACAUUCCCUAUGACCACGGAGAGUAUAGGCGCCGUCUUAUUUGUGAGUAAUUUUCUUUAUGCUUCUUAUUAAUCUACCUAUGUUAUAUCAUAUGUGCAAAGUUUUAAUGCAAAAAGAAAACCCCUAGAUUCAUCAUUUCAUAAAUGUGUUAGUCUCAACUUGUUUCAUAGAUUUACAAACGUAAAUUGUUGUAUCUGAAUUGAUUAUUGUUUCGUACUACUACAUAUGCAGAAACAAUAUAUAAACAUACAUACCACAACAAUACUUUUCAGGACAUAUUUGCAGGUGCCACUCAGACCACGGGAGUUGCCUUGGAGUGGGCGAUGGCUGAGCUCGUCCGUCAUCCCGAAACCAUGGCCAAAGCACAGCUUGAGAUCCCAGAGGUGCUAGGUCAAGGUCGAGCUGUGUUUACUAAUAGUGACCUCGCCGGACUCCAUUACAUGCGGAUGAUCAUUAAGGAGGUUCUUAGAUUGCAUCCACCAGGUCCUUUGAUCCCCCGCAGGGCCAGGGAAGACCGUAAAGUUAUGGGUUUUGACAUGCUUGAAGGCACCAAUGUAUACAUUAAUGCGUUUGCAGUUUCUAGGGAUCCAAAUUGUUGGGAAAGUCCUGAAGAGUUUAAGCCUGAAAGGUUUGAGAACAAUAACAUGGAUUACAAUGGGACAUACUUUGAAUUCACCCCCUUCGGUGCUGGUCGGAGGCAGUGCCCUGGCAUACUUUUUGGCACGUCAACCAUGGAGAUCGCUUUGGCAAAUCUUCUCUACCACUUCGACUGGGUGCUUCCUGACAAGGCAAAUCCAGAAUUUUUGGACAUGACCGAGAAAUACGGGAUCAUCGUAGGAAGAAAAUAUGACCUACAAUUGAUACCGAUUUCCCAUGGAGGUUUCCAUGCCAUAUAAUCAUAGAUGGAUGUGCAUUGCCUCAUGAUAUGUCUGUAUUUAGUUUGAUGUAUAGCAAUAUAUGUUGUUGCACCAAUAAGAAUAAAAGAACCUCGUUGAACCUGCAAUAUAUUAUGGUGGAUGACACAGACUAUUGAUUGUACCAAAACACAAAGUUUGGACUUUUUAAAUUGCCCCAGUGAAGUGUUGUAAGGACCAUAUUUCAAUCUACUUUCGUGGUCUGAUGUCCUCCAUGUAAAAUUGAAGGAAUGGCCUAUAAUUUCUUUCUUUUUUUGCUUUCUUUUGUGUCCCUUUGGAAGAUCUACUGUCAGGUUUAUCGAUUGAAAUCUAGAUCCUUUGGACCGACUUUGCUAACAGUUAUGGCCUCGCCCAAGGGCUCAUCGGUUACUGUCUUGGCAUGCUUUAGGCCAAAUGUAGAUUGAAUUAUUAUUUUUAAUAUUCUCUAAGAUCUUGCACUAUUGACACACUGGUUUGGUUUUCCGACCAACUUUCCUCAUAAAAUAAACUGUUUCCUUAUUAUGAAUCAAAAGGAAGUGUGCGCUCUCUUGAAUAAAAAAAAGAACAAGCAAUUAUUUCGCUCAACUGAUCUUCUGAACGGGCUACCAUAAUAUCUUGCCAGAUUUUUUUGGCCCAGUGUCGUAUCCACUAUAUUGAGACUCUAUUACUCUAUGGUCUAUAGACCAUAAGCAAUCACUCUCUCUUUUCAGUCCGCUCUCGCCUUCAACUGUCACUGAUUUGUUGUCAAAAUUCGCUAUCGUCGAACUCUGAGUAAUGAUCGCCAUGGUGGCAACUAAUAUACCGUGUUAUCUUCCUAACUCCCAGCUCACUCAGUGUGUCGCAUAGCGACACGUCUUAAGUUACAUAGCGACUUAAUUGCAUGGCCCCAACAAUUGUUUUCUCUCUAACCUUUCUCGUUUAAUUGCACACCAACUCGAUAGUGCUGCUUAAUGGAUCAAGUGCGUACCGCUAACAAAUAGUAUGGUACCACUUAUUAUAUUUAAAUUCUGCCUCUGUUUGUAUAGAUCCAUGGCAGAAUGUGAUUGCUAGGUUUGGUUGGCAGACAUGGAACAACAUAUGUAUGGCCGUAACUUUAAGGAGGCGCAUACAAAUAUUUAUGUUCUUGUGUCAAAGAGCACCUUUGUUUCUCAACGAAUUUAUUAAAUCAUAUAAUUAGGCCGUCCGUCUGUAUGUAGUUCCAGAAGAGUGGGUGCAAUUGGCAUGUAGAGACGUGGGACAUGUCCAUCUUAAUACUAUACUAUUGAGUUGUGACUGCCUGUGUGACGUUUUCAUCCAUAUAUCUUAAUAAUGCACUAUAGUUGAAUGUGACUCCGCCGGCUGCUAACAAAGCAACAAACAUGAAUGCAUCCGUGCAAUUGGCGAGCAGGUUGUCUUGAACUUGGGUGCAUGCCACCAGCACGCGGUUGCUAAUAUGCAUCAUGCAUGCAUCUAGUGCGUGUCACACAGAAGGAGUGCUCGUAAAAGAUAUAUGCAUUGUCACGCCCACGAUGGAUCUGUGCCUUUCUGGUACUCUAGCCUUGCAAUGUUUUGGUUGGAGCGGCUGCUAUGAAACGUCAAUGCAAUCUACGCAAUGUUGUCUUUGGCCCACUAUCAAUCAUAUGAAGAUAACAAUAAAACAUGUGGUCAGAAAACAUUGUCAUACUCAGACCAUGCUGAAAAGCAUACAUAUUCCAUUAAACUAUACUAAUAAAUCAGACAAAAAACUAAUAAAUCAGACAAACAUCGAUUAGUAAAUGAAUUACAAGACCUGAAUAGCAAAAGAAAGGUGCAUUUUAGUUAUGAAUGCUAGGUACCUGUAAUUUUUUGUUUUCAUUGAUUUUUUAUUUUGUCGCAUACUCUAUCAGGUUUAGAGAAAUAUGAUCUUUUGGUAUUGAGCCGACUCUGGAAGUCAAUUCACCUUGUUUUACCUCCUAAGUAUAUGUAUAAUGUUCGGUCAUAUAUAUUGUUAUUUAGGGCUUACUACGGCCCAAGACACGAGUGUUUUUCUAUUGUUUUUCCUCCCAUCCUCACCAUGAUCUCGACUACUGGUUGCCUGGUACUUGUCCUUGAUUUCUCUUCUUUUUAUCCACUUAGAUCCGUGGCCAUCUGAAUAGGAUUUAGCUCACCCUCGCGAGACCAAAUUUAGAUUCAUGGCGCAAUGUGAUUGCUAGCUUCGUUUGGCAGAGAUGGAGAAUUAUCCUGUCAACUUAAAGGAGGCCCUUACAAAUACUACAUGUUCUUCUUGUAUCUGAACGCAACUACAUUUCCAAAGGUAGCAACACAUUUAAAAACUCACAUACAAUUAAUUAGCACGGUACAAAGUGUGCGGGCACGUAGGGAGGUGAGACAUGUCUAUCUAAUCUAAUGGUAAUGUGUUGACGUCCGACUGUCCUGUGACGUUUCCGUCCAUAUUAUCCUCUAAUAAUACAUUGUAGUUGAAGGUGACUCCUCUCGGCUGCUAAAAAUGGAGUAUGAAUGCACGCAUGGAUCUUGAACUUGUUAGACUAAGUAUAUAUUAGAUAUACGUGUUGUAACACAACUUGUAUUUGUACGGUUCCCUCUUAUAAAUAUAUGACAGCCGUACCCACCAAGGGUAUCGAGCAUUGUUCCAAACCCUAAUACGUUUAACAUGGUAUCAGACGACGCGUUCGAUCCGCGUCACGCUUCCGCCGCCUCUGCUGCCGUCGCGCCGGCCCCCGCCGCCGCGCCGCCUCUCCCCACUCUGGCGAUGGAGUCGCCGUUCCUGGUGUCGCCUCCACUUGCCUGGGCCCGAUCUACUGCGUCGGGAUCACAACCUCCCGUGCCACAGCGAUCGCCUGCCAUGCUGCCGCCGCCCCGGUCGCCUGCUGCGCUUCCGAUCGCGGCCACCCCGAUCCAGUCGCAGGACGCGCCUCCACCACCGGCCUCCUACGGCGCCAAUGGGCAGCCAGCCUACGGUGGUCCUCCAGCCCCGGCCCCGUACCACGAUGCGCCGCUGGCCUCGGGGCCCUAUGGCUCUCCCAUCCAGGCGCCGUACGGCGGCCCGUACCCGGCGCCCUACCUCGCGCCGUCUGCUGCGUCGUAUGCGCCGUAUGCUACUCCUGCCCCGACGUCCUACGCCGCUGCCCAGAUGUAUGCCGCUCCUCCUGCGCUCCCGUAUGGUGCGCACUCCUCGGCGGCUUAUGGCCAUCAUCAACAACCAUCGGCCGAUGCACUAAUCCCAUAUAGUGCUGUCCUGCCGCCUGGUCCGCCGCCUGAUCUGCCGCUCUCCGCGCCGAUGGCCGAACCAGGGCCUUUUCACUUCGCCCAUCUAGUGACGGUGAAGCUUUCUGCUGAUAACUAUCUCCUGUGGCGCGCUCAAGUGUUGCCGCUGAUGCGUAGCCACUACCUUGAAAGAUAUGUUGAUGGCUCCCUGCCGUGCCCUCCGGCUAUGGUUCCGGUACCCUCGUCCCAUGGUGGCUCUGUCAUGGUCCCCAACCCUGCUCAUCGUCGGUGGACUGCUCAAGAUCAAGCCAUCCUGGGUGCUAUUCAGUCAUCGCUCACUCCAUCCGUGGCUGGCAUGGUCGUCUUUGCCGCCACGUCGAGGGAUGCAUGGGCCACGCUCGACUCCAGCUUUUCCUCGCAAUCGCUGGCCCGUUCCUCUGCCAUUCGUAACCAGCUGGGUGAGGUCAAGAAAAAUGACCUCUCCGUCACGGCCUUCUUCAACAAGGUCAAAAGUUUGGCUGAUACACUGUCGUCUAUUGGGAAGCCUCUUCGUGAUGAGGAGUUUACUUCGUUCAUUCUCAAUGGGCUUGAUGAGGACUAUGAUUCUCUCGUUGAAAACAUUAAUGGACGUGACACACCGAUGCCGCCUCGCGAUCUCUAUGCACGCCUUCUCAACACCGAACAGAGGCUCGCUGCUCGCCGCUCCGUUGGCGUCUACACGGAGGGCCCUUCUGCGAACGCUGCUCUCCGCGGGGGCGCCCGCGGUGCCAAGCAGAAGGCGCCGCCGACCUCAGGCAACCAGCCCCGUCCGCCCGCUCCACCUCCGACGGCUGGCCGCAGGCGGCUCCACUGCGAGGCAUGUGGUGGUGGGGUUGAGUGUCAACUCUGCGGCAUCGAGGGGCACUUGGCGUCUCGCUGCCAUCGUCGCUUUAAACGAGAUUUUCUUGGCAUUGGGAACAAUGGGAAGGGCAAUGACAAGCAAGCUGCUCUCGCUUCACCGGAUCCCGGGUUCACUCCUUCAUACUCGGUGGAUCCUGCCUGGUACAUGGAUACGGGCGCUACGGACCAUUUGACGAGUCAGCUUGACAAGCUGGCCACUCGCCAGCCCUACACUGGUCACGAUCAGGUCCGCACGGCCAAUGGAUCAGGUAUGCCCAUCUCACAUGUUGGUCAGGCAUCUCUUCUUUCACGUACCACUAAAACCUUGCAUCUGCUUGAUGUCCUUCGUGUUCCCUCAGUCACACGUAGUUUACUCUCGGUUCCUAAAUUAACUCGUGACAACAAUGUGUUUGUUGAGUUUCACCCUUUCCAUUUUUUUGUUAAGGACCGGGACACGAGGGACGUUCUUCUUAGUGGUCGAGCUCGCGACGGCUUAUACGCACUUGAUGUGCCACGAGUCUCUCAAGUUUUCAGUGGUGUUCGGGUGUCGUCGUCACAGUGGCACUCUCGCCUUGGCCACCCCGCUACUCCCAUUGUGCGCCAUGUGCUUCAUCGCCAUCAUCUUCCUGUUGAGUCGAGUAAUAAGGAGUUUCUAGUGUGUGAUGCUUGUCAACAAGGCAAGAGUCAUCAGUUGCCUUUUUCUGUAUCAAGUCGUGUUGUCAUGGCUCCUCUUGAGCUUGUGUUUUCAGACGUGUGGGGCUAUGCCCAAACUUCUGUUAGUGGUCACAACUAUUAUGUCAGUUUCAUCGAUGCUUUCAGUCGCUUUACUUGGAUUUAUCUUAUUAAGCGCAAAUCUGAUGUGUUUCAUGUCUUUAUGCAAUUUCAAGCACAUGUUGAACGAUUGCUUAAGCACAAAAUUAUCCAUGUUCAGUCAGACUGGGGGGUGAGUAUCGUAACCUUAACACCUUCUUCCAGAAGCUUGGCAUCUCACACCAUGUGUCUUGUCCUCAUACACAUCAGCAGAACGGCGCAGCUGAGCGCAAACACCGUCACAUAGUUGAAACUGGCCUGACACUUCUUGCACAUGCCUCUGUCCCGUUUCGGUCCUGGAGCGAUGCUUUUGUUACUGCCUGUUUUUUGAUAAACAGGAUUCCCACACGACGCCUUCACAUGAAGUCUCCACUCGAAGUGUUGCUUAAUGAAACUCCAGAUUACUCCCUCCUCAAAGUGUUCGGCUGUGCGUGUUGGCCGCAUCUUCGUCCGUACAAUAAGCAUAAACUUGAGUAUCGAUCUAAACAAUGUGUGUUUCUUGGGUACAGUCCUCUCCACAAAGGUUACAAGUGUCUUCACAUCCCGUCAAAUCGUGUUUACAUUUCUCGUGACGUUGUGUUCGAUGAGACUGUCUUCCCGUUUUCCACGCUCACAUCACCCACUGAUACUCCCGUCACUGAGUUGCACUCUUUUCCAGUUUUGCCUGAUCAAUUUGUGGAUGCUGCAUAUUCUCCUCUGUUGGUGCCUAACCAUGGUGCAGGGACUGGACGAGGCGCUCGACUUGAGCUUCUGGAUGAUGAUAUAGCCACAACUGCGCCAGUUGCUGCCACGCCGGAUGAGGCGCUCGAGGAGACUGCCCCCGCCACUACCCCGCUUGACCCCGACGUCGAUCACGCGUGCAUGACCCAUGCACGAGGAUCCGACAGGGUGACCAAGUCGCCGGGGCCAGCGGCCUCGCUGUCGCCUGGGCCGGCCGAACCUGCGGAGCUGUCGGCCGGGCCGGCUGGACCCGCGGCGCUCUCCCCUGAGCCGAAGGCCUCGCAGGUCACCGAGUCUUCGUCGCCUGGUCCGUCGACGCCGAUCACGCCCGGUCUGUCUUCGCCGACCCUGACCGUGCCACCGGAUGCGCCUGUUGACUCGCCCGCCGGUGCGUCCUCCUCGCCGCUGAUGGAUAGUGGCUCCUCUGGUAUGGCAGCUCCAGCGCCACCUCCGCCUGUCGUCCUGCGUCCCCAUACUCGCAGCAAAAGUGGCAUCUUCCAACCGAAGAAGCGCACUGACGGCACUGUUGCGUGGCUUGCGGCCUGUGUGGCACAUGCUGAGGCUGACCCUACGACUGAACCACGACAUUUUCGAGCGGCGCUUGGCAUCCCGCAUUGGCGUGCUGCAAUGUAGCAGGAGAUUCAUGCCCUUCAAAGAAACAACACUUGGCGUCUUGUUCCACCUCCAUCUGGUGUUAAUAUCAUUGACUCUAAAUGGGUAUUCAAGGUGAAGAAACAUGCUGAUGGCUCCAUUGAGAGGUACAAGGCACGCCUGGUUGCCAAGGGGUUCAAACAACGGUAUGGCAUUGAUUAUGAAGACACAUUCAGUCCUGUUAUUAAACCAACUACGAUUCGUGUUCUUCUCUCUUUGGCUGUUACUCGCGGAUGGUCGCUUCGACAGCUUGAUGUUCAGAAUGCUUUUCUCCAUGGAGUUCUGGAAGAAGAGGUUUAUAUGCGUCAGCCGCCAGGUUUUGUUGACCCUGCUCAGCCACAUCAUUUAUGUCGUCUUGUCAAAGCUCUCUACGGUUUGAAGUAGGCCCCGCGUGCAUGGCAUGCCCGUCUUGGCGCUGCUCUUCGUGCGCAUGGGUUUGUUCCUUCUACAGCAGACACGUCUCUGUUUAUUCUACAGCGACCUGAGGUGACUAUGUACAUUCUGGUAUAUGUUGAUGACAUCAUCCUUGUCAGUUCGUCUGCUUCUGCUACAGACCGGCUUGUGUCCUCUCUUGGUGCUGAGUUUGCUGUUAAGGAUCUUGGGAGACUGCAUUAUUUUCUGGGCCUAGAGGUUCUUCAUUCUGAUGGUGGCUUGAUUCUUACUCAGAAGAAGUACUCUCAGGAUCUCCUGCGUCGUGCCGGUAUGUUGCAGUGCAAGUCUGCUACAACUCCCAUGUCUGCUACAGACAAACUGAUAGCUCUUGCUGGUGACUUGCUUGCUCCUGAGGAUGCCACAGAGUACCGUAGCAUUGUGGGUGGACUGCAGUACUUGCUCAUUACUCGACCAGACAUAUCAUUUGCAGUUAACUGUGUGUGCCAGUAUCUUCAUGCACCACGUGAUUCUCACUGGUCAGCUGUUAAGCGCAUCUUGCGCUAUGUUCGUCACACUGGUUCAUAUGGUCUCCAUCUUCAGCCUGCGCGUUCUGGACUGAUCUCAGCAUUCUCUGAUGCCGACUGGGCUGGUUGUCCUGAUGAUCGGCGAUCCACGGGGGGACAUGCUGUGUUCUUUGGGCCUAACUUGAUCGCCUGGCAAGCUCGCAAGCAAGCUAUGGUGUCUCGGAGUAGUACCGAAGCUGAGUACAAAGCUGUUGCUAAUGCCACAGCUGAGAUCAUGUGGGUGCAGUCAUUGCUUCGAGAGUUGAAGGUCUCCCCAACUCAGCCGCCUGUUCUUUGGUGUGAUAACGUCAGUGCAACAUAUCUUUCAUCCAAUCCAGUAUUUCAUGCCCGAACGAAGCACAUCGAAGUUGACUAUCAUUUUGUGAGGGAACGUGUUGCUCAGAAGCUUCUUCAGAUUAAGUUUGUUUCUUCGAAGGAUCAGCUUGCUGAUAUUUUCACUAAAUCCUUGCCCUUGCCUUCUUUUGAAGGAUGUCGUCGCAAUCUUAACCUUCUGAGUGUUUCAGGACAUAGUUAAGAUUGAGGGAGGGUGUUAGACUAAGUAUAUAUUAGAUAUACGUGUUGUAACACAACUUGUAUUUGUACGGUUCCCUCUUAUAAAUAUAUGACAGCCGUACCCACCAAGGGUAUCGAGCAUUGUUCCAAACCCUAAUACGUUUAACAGAACUAGUGGGGCAGAACAUAAAGGCGUCAUGGCCUGUAUACUAAAAAUGAUUCAACCGGCUGCUAACAUUCCCAGUGAAGAGCAGAUCUUAUAGUCGAUCUAGUGGACGUCGCACCGAAUUCCCAGUACGCACAAGAUCGAUAUACCGGAUUCCUCCGGCUGCUACUUGACUGUGAGAAACGUGGAUGCAUGCAUGCGUUGAGUGGUCACAGUUACGUAAAGAUAGGCCUGAUUGUCACACUCACGAUGGUAUGUGCCUUAUACUGUUCCAGCUGGUGCGGCUGCUAUGAAAAGUGGAUGCAAUCUAGACGAUGUUGUCUUUGACAAAGUAUCAUUCAUAUAUAUAAGGAUAACAAUAACACAUGUGCCAAGAGAAGCAGUGCACAAAGUACACCGCAUAGAUGUCCUUUUCUUUGUAGCUUGUUUGCGAUCUCGUAAGCACCACACCUCCAAACGAAAAGAAACACACCUACUCGGACUAUACUGAGAAACUGGCACAUGUUGCAUUAGGCUGAUAAACCAGACAAAAGAACGGUUACCAAACGAAUUACAAGACCCAGAAAAUUCUCUACUAAACGAUAGAUGAAGUAAUUUCCACAAACACAACCAUGGCAGACAUGCAAAAUAGGAACCAGUACCAAAUUACACGCACAACGGCUUCAUCUUAGAGAAAACUAAAACUUUUGAAUUCCUGCUCCAAUAGUUUUGUAGGAGACAAAAUCUGCUAAAUCGAGGGUGAAGAAAAGCCCCGUCAUGGUUACGCCAUGUCAAAGUUUUCCUCUUUCCAUCCUUUUCUCUACACGCAAACCGGUCGAAUGGCUGAGCCAGACCAGCCUAAAUGUCACCGACCCGUCCAUGCACCCGCUCGCAAAUGGCUUAAGCUGCACCAGGUCGCACCUUCACCUGACUCGUGCACCACCAAUAGUUGCCCUCAUAUGCAUACGCGUAGGGGUAAGUAUUUGAAGGAGGCGGCGACACCUAUGGAGAAAAUGAACACACAUAAAGCAUCUCCAAUACAAGAUUGAAAAAUUAGUAGAGGUGCAAAGAAAAUGCUCUUUACGACAUUUUGACAUAAAAACGGUGCUCCAACAGCUGUCCCUAAAAUACACCCUCUUGUGCUGCAAAUAUACAACAACAUGCGCAAGUCUCGCAAAACAAAAACCCAGCUGCGUGCAGCCAAACCACCAUCCGGAACAUUCCCUAAGGUGAACACGCAGAAAUGCCUCCCCUCCCACUUUGCUGCUGCUACCAAAUCCGUUCGAAUCCGGCCGCUUCUGGCCAAGGACGCCACCACUGUACCGCCGUGAAGUCAGAUCCACCGCGCCCUCCAUCGCUCGGACUGCCGCACCACCGCAACUACUGAAUCGCAACGAGCCGUCGCACCGGCCGAUACAAAUCACCGGUCCUACCGAUACAAGAUCCAUGAGUGACUGCUAUAAGAUCCAUGAAACUUCAAUGCUAUGAAACGUCGCUGCAAUCUGUGGGCCGUUGUCUUUGACCAAGGAUAAAUGUUCCUGAAGGUACCUCAUGUGUGUGCUUGUCUUUUUAUUUAGCAAAAAAUGUUUCAUCUUCAUCUUCAGCAAAUAAAAACUCUUGAAUUCCCGCCCCAUCUGGAAUAGGGCACAAAGUUUAUUCAACACACCAUGAACGAAAAUCCCUACAAUGGUUUAGUGGACCACAUGAUCCUGAAAACCUGAUCAACAGACAAGGACAACUUAAGGAGAAGGAGAACUAGUAUUUCGCAAGGCGCUGGUGUUGUUGCCAUAGUCAAGAAAAAAAACAAAGACCUCAAAGAAAAGCUAUAAUAUUUGCAUCUCCCAACCUCACGACAUAGUAGAGGCGAUGGAUCACAGGUAAAAACAGUUAAGAUAUUGGACCGGGCAGCUAGGGUUUGGUAGGGGGAGUUGCCGUCAAGCUAUGAUACUUAAUAACAUGGCAUAACGAUGGUAAUGAAUGCAUGCCCUAAUUUAUUAGUGUUAGCUAUCUAGAGUACGAUGGUAAUGAAUGCAUGCCCUAAUUUAUUAGUGUUAGCUAUCUAGAGUUUUUUUGUACUCCCUGGGUCUCCGAUGGUGGAGCAGGCACAUGUGACUAUCUAUCCUUCCUCCGCAGGAAGCGGCAGCAAGCACAACACACAGUUCAAUCACGGAGUAGAAUAGCAGCAUUUUCUUUGUACUCAUUCUCCAGUUUAUAAGGCCCACAUGUACUGAACAAUCAUCAAUUUGACCAACAUAAUGCUAGUAUUAUAUCACAAGAAAAAUAUUCCAUAGAAAACUUCUAAAGAUAUACCAUUUAUGAUAUACAUUUGGUGUUACUUUGAUUAAAUGAUUAAUUUAGGGAUACACUUGGGCCUUAUAAAUCGAAAGAGGGACUAUCUAGUAUAAUUCGCCCGGCUGCUAAUACGCAUCAUGCAUUCAUCUUAAACUCGAUGUAGUAUAAUCGAAAAGUGAUGUACAAGGGAUUCUUGGCCCUACGCACAAGAGACCUGCAUGCAUGAUGCAUGCCUGAGAGAUCACAACAAUUGGCAUGAGUGUUUUGCUGACUAUACAUUGUCACGCCAAUUGCAUGCGUUGAGCUAGCUUUAUACUGUUCCUGGUGCGGCUGCUAUGAGAUGCAAUCUUGGGGCUGCCAUGGUCUUUGACCAAGGAUCCGUCCUAUGAAGAUAAAUAUAACACAUGCGACAAGAAAUACAUUCCUCAAAGUAACUUUGAUUUAACUUUGGUAGGUCCAUCAUUUUUCUUUGUACAUUCUACACAAAUUAAAAUAGUUUGAAUUUUUUUACAUUCUCUAUUAAGUUUAAAUUAGUGUGAUAUUUUGGAUUAUGACACGAGUUGAAUGUAAAUUUGGCAACUAGUUUUUGUCUAUUAAGUACAUGUAUCACGAACAACUGCACCCAGAAAGGGCUGGAGUUUUCUGAUCUGAGGUACAUCUGAACCGCCAAAAAAAAGAUAUACUUUCAAGUUUCAAAAUAAAUGAACACAAAAGAUUCAUGUAUAUAGAGGAUGGUUAAAAGUAUGUGGAUGUAAAUUCUGAACAUAAACAUGACAAUACUAUGUGACAUGUAAAAAACGGACAAAAUGGCUAAGGAACAGUGCAAGUCACAAGUAUAGCAAUCUAAAAUAGAUUUCUCCACGCUGGAAAUACACGAUUUUAUGCCCAUCAAUUGGGUGGGUCUAAAGGCACUACCGGAUAAUCAACCUGAAGGUAGGUAGAUUAGUAGUGCAUGCGGUCGUCUUUAUAGUUCGGCCGGCCGGCUGCUAACGAUGAGAAAUAUGCAUGGACCUGCAAUCGCUUGGACAUUAUUUAAAGGCCUCACGCACACAUUCUCCUUCCUCCCCAAAGAAAGCUAUCUAUAGCCCAAGCUGCUAACUCUUGAAAACAAAGAAGCAACGGUUAAUUUCCAUGGCGUCCGGCAAUGCUGCUACUCCUGCGUUCAGCUACGAGCCCUCACCAUGGAUCGACUUCUUUGCUGGAUAUGAGCCACCGCUGCUACAGGUAUAAUAAAAGCUAACUAUUUAUGGCACAAAAUGUCACCAUGCACGAAGGUAUUUAUUUGUAACUAUUUUAUGCAUUUUUGUACUAGUAUCUACUACCCGGCCUAUGCUGGGCCGGCCCAAGAGGUGCCAAAAUGUACACCAUGCACCCACUACUUGCAGGCCCAAGUAGGAACACAUUUCUAAUUACCAUCCGUGCUCCUCUAGAGAUCCAUGUCAACCGGUUGCUUAUCGUGUGUACUUCACUAGUCGACACUUCUUAUAGUAUCUGAAUAUGUCUAUAGACUUUAUAUUUCACAUACCCAGCGGUACAGAUUUGUCAUAUUCAGAUAUCUACUUUGUAUAUCAUCAACAACACUCAUAGUCAUAAGUAAAUCGUCUAGUGUAACUCCAUGCUUGAGUGGAAGCAAUUUGAAACCACAUGCAUGCUUUUGAAAUUAAAUAUGCUGGCCACGACCGACACCCUUAGAAGAUACAUGUGAAUAGCCUUUGGUUGGCACAUGUUGGAAAGUUGGACUCAGUGAAAGGAUAUAUGGUUAUUUUAUACAAUCAUGUACUUUUGGUCCAUUUUGUUUCACUGGAGAUACGAGUUGUUAUAUUUUUUCAACUAUUUUUGGUUUUGGCGACAUUUUCUUUACCUAGCUCACCCUUGUCCCUUUUGGUUAAUUAAAAAUGUUCAAUUCUUGCAUUGCAGAAAUCCAAGCAGUGGAUGACGCUUAGGGCAAAAAAACUGAAGGAAGACAUAUGUAUGUUGUUUAAAACCAGCAAUGACAUAGUGGUAAAAAUGUCCUUAGUGGAUACACUACAACAUCUCGGAAUUGAUCACCACUUUGAAGACCAGAUUGACACCGCUAUGAGGCAAAUCCUGAAGAGUGAAUUUAGUAAUUACAACCUCUAUGAAGUUGCCCUUCGGUUUCGCUUGCUGAGGGAACAUGGACACUGGGUAUCUCCAGGUAUAUAUAUUCCUAACAAUUUUUUCUUAUUAUACAUAGUUGGUUACGAAAAAUUAUGAAAGAAAAAUCAUGAUGUGCAAAUUUUUAACUGGCUAAGAAAUUGAGUUAUCAAGAUUAGAUUGGUAACCUUAUUUGCAAAAUAUUUCAUAAUGUGGACGACAUGUCUACAACAAUAGAAGCUCCAUUGACAAUGUGGUCACGAGAACACCAACAUUUAUUUAUCGAUUUACAGAUGUUUUCAAUCGAUUCAAAAGUGAAGAUGGAAGCUUCGUCAAGGAUAUAACAAAUGAACCCAGGACACUAUUAUGUCUAUACAAUGCAUCUCAUCUUCUAAUUCAUGGUGAGCCAGCACUUGAAGAAGCCAUAGCUUUUGCAAGGCAUCAUCUUGAAUCAUGUAGUGGUACUUUAAAGACCCCACUAGCUCAACAAGUCCAACGUGCCCUUCACAUACCAAUGCCAAGGACAAAUAAGAGGGUGGAAAUGCUACAUUAUAUCCAAGAGUAUGAACAAGAGGAGCAUAACCCGAUGCUACUGGAGCUUGCCAAAUUGGAUUUCAACCUUCAGCAAAAUGUCCACUCAAAGGAGCUCAAAGUUAUUACCAGGUAUGUUAUUUAUCUUUCUUAUAUAAACAGAAUAUAUAACCCAGUAAUGAUUCACGGGUGGUUGCCCUCACAUACUACAUCUUCAAACAAACAAAAAACCAAAAGUCUAGUUAAUACUACAUUUCUAGUACUUAACAUCAUUGAAAUUAAGAGUUUACGUGGUUGCCUUUUUUGAUUAAUAUGAGAAUGCAUAUUCAUUAAUGGUUCGUGAUGCUUCAGUGUUUCAUAGUUUCUGUGCAUUGUAGGAUAAUUACAUACAUGGUGUAGUGAGAAUGCACAUGCUUUUAAUAAUAAUUGACCAUUGUUCUUUUAUCUCUUAAUGGGGCUAGCGAUGUUAUAUUCUACAUGGACUAUAUAUGUACUAGUUCAGAUAACAUUGCUUAAGUAAUUCACAGGUGGUGGAAACAUUUUUUUGGAUAUAUCGAGCUAAGCUUUAUCCGCGAUCGUGUGGUGGAGGGUUAUACAUGGGCCUCCGUGUUGUACUAUGAUACAAAAUUUGAGCUCCCUCGAAGUAUGAUCACAAAGAUGAUUGUACUAAUUACCACAUUAGAUGACAUAUAUGACAACCAUGCCACCCUAGAGGACAGUUGGAAGCUACAUGAAGCAAUACAAAGGUGGGAUUGAUUUAGCUCUACAUUUUAUCUCUCGAAUUGUCAGUGCUUCUAAUGUAUAUUCCACUAAGAUAGCGAUUCCAUAUCAUAUCAGUACGUCCUUAGAAUCACUGGCAAUCACGGUCAGUAAAUAUGUGCGCAACGUGAUUUUUCCAUGACGUUUAAAGUGAUAAAGUAAUUACGAACAUGCGUGUACUGGAUAAUAACUAUUUUUAAUACUUAUGAAGAAGUAAUUGAACACCCUGCAUUGCCGACCAUAAGAGUGCAAUUCUAACAAGAAAAAAAUGGUAUACAAAUCAUGCUUCAACCCAGGAGCAUAUUACUAUUCUUUGGAUAAUUACCGCGUCCAGAGGUGGACAAGCUGAAUCCGAUGUUGACAUGCAUUUUUCAUAAGUCUUAACACACUAGCACUCAUUGGUACAUACAAUCUGGUUACAAUUGCAAUUUCAAAUGAAAAUGUGAUGCAUGAUUAGAUUAUUAUUUUAUUAACACAAACAUAUAUGUUGCCAUAAUAAGAGGUGGAUGAAAGAAAAUCUAAAUGCAGUAACGAAUGAGAUAUAUUACCUAUAAUGAAAUCUUGAUGUCAUGUUACACUAUUUGCCUCAUGGAGCAAAGUGAAACUAGUGGUUCUUGAUGUGUUGAAGAAAGACGAAGAGUAUAGAAAAAUAAAAUGUUAGGUUAACAUGCAAACAAAGAAUUUUCAAACUACGAUAACUUGUUUUAAGAUUGUUUUUGUGAAUUGGCCUUCUAGAUGGGAUAAGAGCGCCGCUUUUCUCCUGCCGGAGUACUUGAAGAAGUUCUAUAUGGAGAUGCUGAGGACAUUUGACAAUAUUGAGGCUGAAAUGCCAACCAAUACGAACUACGAUAUAGCACACCUGAAAAAAGCGGUAAGUUCAUGUACCCUUUUCUGUCUUGUAAAAAAAACAUAUAACUAAGUGAGGCGUUUUGGCUCCCAGGAUCAUCUGCACCUGCGCUCAGUAAAAAAAUCAAACAAAAUACUAGAAAAAUUCAAAAAAUUCCAUUUUUUUGGCAUGGUAGAUAAUUUAUUGCAUGAUGUCUGGUCCAAAUGUGAAAUCAUUUGGACAUCUGAGUAGCUCUCGGCAAAAAAGACAAAUUUGUGGUCUGUUAAAUAGUGUACUGUUCACAUACUGUUCUGACCCAAUUUGUCUUUUUUGCUGAGAGCUACUCAAAUGUCCAAAUGCUAUGAAAUUUGGAGCGCACCUCACGCACCAAAUUAUCUACCUUCCACAAAAAUUUGUUUUUUUAAUUUUUUUGAAUUUGUUAAGAAUUUUUUAUUGAGCAGGUGCAGAUGAGCCUGGGCUCAGAAUUGGAUAUUCCCAUAUAACUCUCUNNNNNNNNNNNNNNNNNNNNNNNNNNNNNNNNNNNNNNNNNNNNNNNNNNNNNNNNNNNNNNNNNNNNNNNNNNNNNNNNNNNNNNNNNNNNNNNNNNNNNNNNNNNNNNNNNNNNNNNNNNNNNNNNNNNNNNNNNNNNNNNNNNNNNNNNNNNNNNNNNNNNNNNNNNNNNNNNNNNNNNNNNNNNNNNNNNNNNNNNNNNNNNNNNNNNNNNNNNNNNNNNNNNNNNNNNNNNNNNNNNNNNNNNNNNNNNNNNNNNNNNNNNNNNNNNNNNNNNNNNNNNNNNNNNNNNUCUCUCUCUCUCUCUCUCUCAUUAAUUUUGGGAUUACAUCUCUUUGUUUGCAUGCAGGUCCAAAAUAACGUGACUGGUUACCUGCAAGAAGCGAAAUGGUCACACAGGAACCACAAGCCAAGCUUUGUAGAUCAGGUCAAGUUGACUAGCCUGAACAUUGGUGUGCCAACGAUAUGUGUGAGUAUGAUGGCUGGAAUGAGUGAUGCAAUGAUGAAGCCAGCACUCAAAUGGGCUGCUAGUGUCCCGGAUGUCGUCAUAUCAGUCGGGAAGAUUUCCCGUUUCAUGAAUGAUAUCGGUGCAUUUGAGGUAUAUAUAUAAUAUUUCAAUUUUUUUGCAUACAUGUUACUUGCUCCUUUCACACAUGUAAGAAGCUCAAGUUCAAGCAUAUUGAGAUAUAAUUUUGACCAACAAUUUGACAGCUAAAAUGUGAUUUAUUUGACAAAAAAAAUCAUAGUAUGGGUUACACUUAGAAUUAUUUUUCAGCAAUGUCAUUUUUGUGAUGCUACCUUAACUUCAUUGGUCUAUAUUUUAUAAAUUUGUACACAUCAAAAUGUGUGGGCACCUAUGGAAAAGGGGGCAGGGCUCAGUUACCAAGUUUGUACUAUCAUUGUGAGCGGAUGCAAGAUAUUAAAUUGAUACAUACUUACAUAAAGAUGAUUAUUGAUGUUAUCAUACAGCGUAGAAAAUGCAAGGGGGAUCUGGCAAGCACUGUAGAGUGUUACAUCAGUGAGUACAACGUGACAAGUGAAGUGGCCAUUAUCAAAAUUGUUGCCCUGAUAGAACAAGAAUGGAAGACUCUGAACCAAGCUCGCUUUGAAAAUCAUCUUCUCCCUGCAUUGCAGCAGUUCAUUAGCUUAGCGAUUAGCACAACAUUUUUCUAUGGUAACAGAAAUGAUGUAUACACGCACAGCGCACAUAUGCAGUGGACUAUUGAGAGGCUCUUCCUGAAGAAUAUGUAAGCCUUGGCCCAAUUCAUCGUGUAUUUGUUCCCUAGUUUUCACCAUAGAAAGGGAAAUGUUGAUAAGCAUGCAUGUGAUUCACUGAUAAUAUGUGAAAUGCAACAGUGCAAGAAAGUUGUAGCAGUGCAUUUUAUUACGGCGUGAUAAUUUUGGUUAUAAUUAUAUCUCGACUCAAACUUUAUCUUAUGUAAAGGACUAAACAUAUCGAUGUAUGUUUGAGUUCGUCAGAGAUUGAAAGAGUUGUGCAUAUAUCAAACUUAACUACUCAUGGAUAAGCUUGUUCAUACUUUUUUACAUAGAGGUACAUGCAAACCUUUGCAUAGAGAUAUUAUUUGACAUAGCCAAUGUCAGUCAGAAUAAUAUGAAAAAUAAUCUGAUAGUCCAACAAGAGCAAUGCAAACAUCUACAGAUGUACAGACUACAGAGCAACAAAAACAUUCUGGUUCAAUAAAGGUCCUCUAUAUAAUUAUUACUAUAUACAUUCCAUAUGUAUAUCGAAAUAGCUUUGGAGCGUGGCCGUAGAAAAGCUAGCAGCUGAAGGUCAAACUUUCUGCUUACAGUUAUCCCAAAUUUCUUAGACAUGUUCAGUGACUCUUUAAUUGGCUCGUCGGGAAUUAGCACCAGUCAAAGUGGUGGAGAAGAUUUGCCAAGACAAUCUUUACGGUGGUCAUGCUGAACAGCGCCGAAAGAGGUGACUUCAAAAUGUGUCCCAUAAUAAUCCACGUUAUUCUCAAACCUCUUCGGCUUGAACGAUCCCUCGCUCGCUCUCAGAGUCAAUCGCACAAACCAGGUUAUGAGCUCAACGAAAAAAAAGGAUUUUGUGGGAUUGCCUGGAAAACCGCCUUGCGAGCGUUAGCGUUAGCGACAGCGCCAUCUCCUGAUGGAUAUUUUUCCCGCAUCUCCAAUAGUGCUGAUACGUCUCCAACGUAUCUAUAAUUUUUAUUGUUUCAUGCUAUUAUAUUAUCUGUUUUGGAUGUUUUAUAUGCAUUAAUAUGCAAAUUUAUAUGAUUUUUGGGACUAACCUAUUAACCUAGAGCCCUGUGUCAGUUCCUGUUUUUUUCCUUGUUUUUGAGUUUCACAGAAAAAGAAUACCAAACGGAGUCCAAAUAGAAUAAAAAUUUCGCAGUGAUUUUUCUUGGACUAGAAGACACCCAGGAGACUUGGAGUGCAAGUCAGAAGAGCCACGAGGCAGCCACAAGGGUGGAGGGCGCGCCCCCGACCUUGUGGGCCCCUCGGCGACCCCCUGACCUAGAUCUUCCUCCUAUAUAUUCUCAAAUAUCCAAAAAAUUCCAGGGGAGCCACGAAACCACUUUUCCACCGCCGCAACCUUCUCUACCCAUGAGAUCCCAUCUAUGGGCCUUUUUCGGCGUCCUGUCGAAGGGGGAUUCGAUCAUGGAGAGCUUCUACAUCAACACCAUUGCCUCUCCGAUGAAGCGUGAGUAGUUUACCACAGACCUACGGGUCCAUAGCUAGUAGAACUACAAAAAAAAGACACAUCCGUGACAUUUUGGGCCGAACGAAUUUUUUUCCUGUCAUGCUUAUGACACUUCUAAUUCAUUGACAAAAAAUCAAGAUAGAAAAUGGGCUUUUCGUCCUGGGCGGGCCGGAGACGCAGUUGCAUGACAUUUUUUGGGCAAUCCAUGACGGAAAAAACCAUGGUAUAAGCGAGGGCGAGGAAAAUAUCGAGGAGUUCCCGGUUAUGGUGGGUGGUCGGGGGGCCGAGCGAUGCGCGUUUCUCUCGUACACGUACGCGCGUGGGUGCGAGGCGUUGGGCUCUAACUGAACCCGAGCGAGGCGUUCACCUACUGAACCCGAGCGAUUGCACUGCAGGCUAUGCGUUACUGAACCCGAGCGAUCGAUCGAUGAGUGUUAAUUGAACCCGAUCGAGCGAUUCCUUCGCUACUGCUGCUAACUGAAGCCGAUCGAACCUGCUGCCUCUUGAUGAACAGUGAGCAUUAUUGGGGGGGUUGGAUGAACAGUUCCCGGUGUGGAGGUGGAUGAACAGGACACCGUGGUAGUAGAGGCCGUUGCCGCUGGAUGAGCAGGACCCCGAUCGAGCUGGUUGGGGGUGGAUGAACAGGACCCCGUGGAGGGCUGGUUGAACAGUAGCCGAUGGAGGGCUAGAUGAACAGUAGCCCGUGGAGGGGUGGUUGAACAGGACCACGUGGAGAGGGCUGGUUGAACAGUAGCCAGUGGAGGAGCGGUGGAGGCUGGAUGAACAGUGGCUGGUGGAGGCAGGAGAGAAGACGCCAUGGAUGAAAAGUCGCAGGUGGAGGCUGGAGGAGGUCGACGGUGGAUGAACAGUAGCCCGUGGAGGCAGUCGACGAUGAAGAUGAACAGUAUCCCGUGGAGUCCCGUUUUGCGGUAUGCCACACCCCUCCCGAUGAACAGGACCCCGUUUCGACCGUAGCGCUCCAGCACAACUCCGUUUCCUCCGUUUUGCGGUACGCCACACCCCUCCCGAUCAACAGGACCCCGUUUCGACCGUAGGAGGUCCAAGAGAAGUCCGUUUCCUCCGUUUUGCGGUACGCCAGACCCCUCCCGGUGAACAGGAUCCCGUUUCGACCGUGGCCGGUCGAACACAAGGCCGUUUCCUCCGUUCUGCGGUACGCCAGGCCUCGUUUCGAUCGGUUGUUCCGUCCAAGCCGGUUGGCUCCCGAUGAACACAACGACGAUGCAGUUUCUCCGUUCUGACCCAGCCAUGUAGACGAGCUCUGGUCGUACGUAUGCGCGAGUAGGCGUUCGAGACCCCGCCCAUAUGUACGUACGUGGCCGUAUUUACUUUCUUGCACCCUGGCCGCUGUACGUAUGUGUACAUGAUAUUAACGGGACUGCGUGAUAUGCUACGUGCGCGCCUCUACUACAACACGUGCGUGCCUCUACUACGACACGUGCCCUUCCUUACACGGCCACGGUUCAUCUCUGUAGCCUGCAGACAGACCGAUCGACCAGUAUGUACGUACACGUUCGCGACCAGAGUGACAACGCUACGUACGCUUCAACCAAGUGGGUCCCGACUGUCAAGCACUUCCUUGCGUGCGAAGAUGUAGCUAGUGGGUCCCAGCAGUCAGGGGGCGAAUCAUAUUUUUUGCCCGUAAUAUGCACGCACUUCCUUGUGUGCGAAGAUGUAGCUGGUGGGUCCCAGCAGUCAGUGGGGAAACUUUUUUUCAUAAAAUACUGUGGCCCGUCCGGUGGGUCCCUGCUGUCAGGUGGAGGAAUCAUUAUUUUCCGCAUAAUACUGAGGCACUUUCUUACUGCGGCCGUGGACCCAGCUGUCAGCCUCUCCAUGUACAGUACUCUUCCGAUGGAAGUCGUUCCUUGACCACGCCGCGCCGAGAGCACCAGGGCGGUGGACGACGGCGAGGCGUAGGAAGGGGACGACGCGGAGCCGGGGAAUACGCGGCAGUGGAUGCCCACGCGGAGAGGAGUACGAGGGUUCACUGGUUCGGCUGUGGUGUGAGGCUGUCGUCGCCGCAGCGCCUGGCGAGCGGUGGGAAUAAUAGGGGGUGGUGAGGCUUCCGCGGUAGCACAGCCAGCCACGGGAGGCAGGAGCAUGCGGCACGACCGGCGCUGGUUUGGGCGGCUAGAGCAAGAAGACCAGAGGUUGAAGAAGCACUAUAGCCGUUGAAUGGACAUUGUACGAUCACUGGAGCUAGAAUCGUUCAUAUUGACUAAGUUGACAAAGCCCUCCAUCCCCGUCAACUUAGUAGGCCCACAAGUUAGCCUCACACUAUGGUGGGUCCCAGCUAGCAGGGGGAGUAUUCAUUUUUUUGUGCGUAAUAAGAAGGCACUUCCUUGCGUGCGAAGAUAUAGCUAGCGGGUCCGAGCUGUCAGCGGGGGGAACGUUUUUUUUUGCAAAAUACAGAGGCCAUUCCGAUGGGUCCCACCUGUCAGGUGGAGGAAUCAUUAUUUUGCGCCUAAUAAGGAGACAUUUCCUUGUGUGCGGCCGUGGACCCAGCUGUCAGCCUCUCCACGUACCGUCCACUUCUGAUUUCGUUCGUUGACCACGUUGACCAUGCCGCGCCGAGAGCACCAGGGCGGUGGACGACGGCGAGGCCUAGGAAGGGAAUGACACGGAGCAGGGGAAGAUGCGGCAGUGGAUGCCCACGCUGAGGGGAGUACGAGCGCUGAGUGGUCGGCUGCGGGGUGAGGCUGACAUCACCGAAAAAUAACAGGAUGUGCGGGUGGGUAGAGGGAUGGCCUGGCGGCAGCACAGCCGGCCACGGGAGGAGGGAGUAGGCAGUCCCGCCGGCGCUGGUUUGGGCGGCUGGAGCAGGAAGAUCAAAGAUUGAAGAAGCACGGCGGCCGUUGAAUGGACAUCCAACAGUCACUGCUCUGUGUUGACUAAGUUGACAAAGCCUUGCGUACGCGUCAAUUUUUUUAGGAAAACGUCAUCAUGAACCUAGUAGGCCCAGAAGUCAGCCUCCAAAUCCGUGGAAAACAGCAUACAGCCCAUUAUCCAUUAUUUUCAAUAAUUUACAGCUCGUUUGCUAAUUCUUAAGGAUAUUUUGAAGCCCAUAUUCUUUUUAUUAGCAUUACAGACCAUAUAUUCUGGGCACUGCUAAAAAAUUCAACGAAAAUUUUCAUAUUUCGGUGGGGUCUGAACUCUUUUAAUCACGAAAUUUCUAGUCAUGUUAAAAAUAAUUUUAAAAAAUUUAUAUCAAAAUAAAAUUCAAAAAAAUUCUCUGCCAAAAAAUGAAUGACUCUGGAGUCCGAGAAGGACUCUUGCCUUUCGGGUGAAACCGACUUUGUGGAGGCUUUUACUCCAAGUUUUGACCCCAAGGCUCAACAUAUAAAUAGAGGGGUAUGGCUAGCACCCAAGACACAGCAAGAAACACCAAGCCGUGUGCCGGCAACCCCGUCUCCUCUAGUUUAUCAUCCGUCAUAGUUUUCGUAGUGCUUAGGCGAAGCCUUGCGAAGAUUGUUCUUCACCAACACCGUUACCACACCGUCGUGCUGCCGGAACUCAUCUACUACUUCGCCCCUCUUGCUGGAUCGAGAAGGCGAGGACGUCAUCGAGCUGAACGUGUGCAGAACUCGGAGGUGUCGUGCUUUCGGUACUUGGAUCGGUCGGAUCGUGAAGACGUAUGACUACAUCAACCGCGUUGACAUAACGCUUCCGCUUACGGUCUACGAGGGUACGUAGACAACACUCUCCCCUCUCGUUGCUAUGCAGCACCAUGAUCUUGCGUGUGCGUAGGAAAUUUUUGAAAUUACUACGUUCCCCAACACAGCAGCCCCCGCGUUGGGAACGGCGGCGGCUGCAGCCCCCGGGCCGGGUUGAGCAGUCCCCGGGCCGGGUUCGGCAGUCCCCGUGCUGGGUUGAGGCGCGGCCGGGACAUAGAUGGACUCGGAGUCCGGAGACGGCUUGACGGACUGCUUGUGCAGGUGCUCGAGGGAGACGCCGGACAGGAUGGAUUGCCGGGACGAGGCGAUCUUGGCGAGUGUGCUGGCCGCCUCAUUUUCCGUGCGCGGGACGUGGAGGAACUCGCAGCCCGCGAAGAAUCCGGACAGCUUCUGGACAAGGAAGCGGUAGCUCGCCAUGUUGGGGUCGCGGGCGUCCCACUCGCCGGAGCACUGCUACACCACCAGAUCCUAGUCACCAUAGCAUAGGAUGCAUCGGAUGCCGAGUUCUUUGGCAAGCCGGAGGCCAUGCACAAGAGCUUCGUAGUUGGCGACGUUGUUGGAGGUGGUGAAGUGGAUCUGGAGCGCGUAUUUGAGCCGGUCGCCCUUCGGGGAGGACAGCACAAUGCCGGCCCCUAGGCCGAGACGCAUCUUCGAGCCAUCAAAGUGCAUGUGCCAGUGCAUUGAGUCCGGCGGCGGCGGCAGGUACUGGGUCUCGGUCCAGUCGACGAGGAAGUCGGCCAAAGCUUGGGACUUGAUCACAGUGCGAGGCUCGUAGAGGAUGGUGUGGCCAGCUAGCUCGAGCGCCCACUUGGCGACCCGGCCAGAGGCAUCCUGGCACCCGAUGAUCUCGCCGAGAGGGGCCGUGUUGACCACGGUAACAACGUGCUCUUGGAAGUAUUGCUUCAAAUUCUUGGCGGUGAAGUACACGCCGUAACACAUUUUCUGGUAGUGCGGGUAGUUCUACUUGGAGGCGGAGAGCAGCUCGCUCAGGUUGUAGAUGGGACGCCGGAUGGCUUGGAUCUUGCCCUUCUCUAGUCGCUCGACCACCAUCACCGUGCUGACCGACCGCGAGGUUGCGGCGACGUAGAGCAACAACGGCUCCUUCUCGGCCGAUGCGGCUAGGACGAGUGCGGUGGAGAGCAUGUGCUUGAGGUCCCGGAAAGCCUCGUCCGCCUGGUCGUUCCAUUCGAAUGGCGUCGUCUUCUUCAUCUGCUGAUACAGGGGCAAGGCCCUCUCGCCCAGUCUGCUAAGAAACCGGCUGACAAAGGCCAAGCAGCCGGUGAACUUCUGGACAUCGCGCAGCCGAGCCGGCUUGCGCAUGCGCUCGAUGGCCUUGAUCUUCUCCGUGUUUGCCUCAAUGCCGCGCUCCGAGACGAGGAAGCCGAGUACCUUUCCGUCCGAGACGCCGAAAACGCACUUUUCCGGGUUGAGCUUGACCUUGUACUUGCACAGGUUGCCGAAGGUUUCCUUCAGGUCGUCGAGGAGCAUGAGGUGCUGCUUGGUCUUCACCAUGAUGUCGUCCACAUAGACGUGGACAUUGCGGCCGAGUUGCGGCAGCAAGCAUUUCUGCAUGCAGCGCUGGAAGGUGGCGCCGGCCUUCUUCAGGCUGAACGACAUGGUGAUGUAGCAAUACGCCCCAAAGGGCGUGAUGAAGGACGUCUUCAGGGCGUCGGCCGGGUCUAGCUUGAUCUGAUGAUAGCUGCAGUAAGCAUCCAGGAAGGACAGAAGCUCACACCCGGCAGUGGAGUCGAUGACUUGGUCGAUCCACGGGAGGGCGAAUGGAUCCUUGGGGCAGGCCUUGUUCAGGCUAGUGUAGUCGAUACAUAUGCGCCAGGUCUUUUUCUUCUUCAGGACGAGGACUGGGUUGGCCAGCCACUCGAGGUGAAACACUUCCAUGAUGAAGCUGGCCGCCAAGAGCUUGGCGACCUCUUCACCAAUGGUUCUUCUCUUCUCUUCUAAAAACGUCGCAGGGGUUGACGGACAGGCUUGGCGUUCUUGCGGACGUGGAGUUUAUGCUCGGUGUACUUCCUGUGGAUACCCAGCAUGUCCUUUGGGGUCCAUGCAAAAAUAUCCCGAUUCUCAUGGAGGAAGUCGACGAGCUCGCCUUCCUAUUUGCUGUCAAGGCGGGUGCCCACGACAAUGUACUUGCUGCAGCUGGGCUCUUUCGGGUUUAGCUUCACUUUCUUGGUCUCCUUGGAGGGCUUGAACGAGGCCUCGUCGGCCGGCUCCUCGACCGGGAUUGGCGCGGCCGACGUCUCGUUGGCCAAGGCGACGAUCCGGUCGAGUUGGCGCCGCUCCUUGGCUACGACCAGCGACUCGGCCAGCUUGGCAUCGUCUCGGGCGCACUCUAUGGACUUGCGGUAGUCGCCAACAUUGCUGAUGAGGCCCUUCGGACCCGGCAGCUUCAUCUUCAGGUAGGCGUAGUGGGGAACCGCCAUGAAUUUGGCAAGCGCGGGCUGGCCCAGCAGCGCAUGGUACGCGCUGGUCAGGUCCACCACCUCGAACUAGAGCGGCUCGCGUCAGAAAUGGUCGCUAUCGUCAAACAGGACGUUGAGGCGGACCCGGACGAUUGGAGAGCAGGAGAGGCCGGGAACGAUGUCGUGGAAGAUCGUCCGGGUCGGCUCCAGCUCUUUGGCCUCGAGGCCGAGCUUGGUCAUGGGUCGCGAUAGAGGAUAUUGAUGCUGUUGCCGCCGUCGAUGAGGACUCGGGAGAACUUGCAUGUGCACCGAGGCACGACGAUGGUGGGGUUGAGGACGAGGGCGUAACCACCUGGGUUCGGCAUGACGGCCGGGUGUUCCUCCCGAGUCCAGGUGACCGGGCGCUCCGACCAGUGCAUGUAUUCCGGCUUGGCCGGAAUGACGGUGUUCACCUCCUGCCGAAGGAGGUGCUCGCUGCGUUCGUCAUCGCCGAGGCUGGUGAAGACGACGUAGGUCGCGUUUUGGGCCAGGUAGACGUCGUCGCGCAUCGCGCCGCCAGCCGGAGGUAGCGGUGGAGGCGGAGGCAGCUAGCCCGCUCCCGGAGCCGGGGCCAGAGGAGGCGGGAUGUCGCCCCUCAUGAGGCGCUUGGUGAUGGCGCACUGCUGAAGCGUGUGCGUGGACGGCCUUGCGCCGCUGUGGUGCUUGCAAGGGGCGUCAAGAAUCUCCUCGAAGUUCAUGGCGGGUUGCCACGUCGUCUUGCCGGUCUGCCGGCGCUUGGCGGCCGGGUCGGUCGUGGGCGCCUGUUCAGCGGUCGCGACAAGCCGGUUGUCGUAGCGCUGGGCCGGCUGAUCGGCCCUGCGCUUGUUGUUCUGCUGGUUGUGCUGCUGCCGGCUUCCUUCGUCGGCUGGCUUCGGAGGGGGAACCGCUUUGCUUUGCCGGCUUCAGCCAGUGCUACCUGGAUCUUCAUGGCGGAGUCGGCAUUUGCGUACUUGUCCGCCGUCACCAUGAGCGCAGCCAUGGUGGCCGGCUCAGAGCGUAAGAUCUUGUGCUUGAGGAGGGUGCCAUCCUGGCACCCGUUGAUGAAGUAUUGGAUCCCUUGGACUUUGUCGACGCCCUCGCAGCUGUUCCGGAGCUCGGUCCAGCGUGCGAGGUACUCACGACCGGUUUCCGCCGGUCCCUGCACGCACAUGGCGAGCUGACUGGGGCGGCCGGGUCUUUUGUAUGUGCCGGUGAAGUUGCACACGAAGGCCUGCUCGAAGUCGACCCACGCGUUGAUGCUGCCCGCCGGCAGACUGUUCAACCAGGUGCGGGCCAACCCCCUGGAGCAUGAGCGGCGCGUAGCGCACGGCGAGGCGGUGGUUACCGUCGGCGAUGCCGAUGGUGGUGGUGUAGUCGGUGAGCCAGUCCUCCGGCUUCACGGUGCCGUUGUAUUUGGGGGUGUCGCGGGGGAGCGUGAACCCUUUAGUAAAGGGCUCAUUCCGGAUGCGUGGUCCAAAGCACACGCCCGACAGGGCCGCUCUCCUCCAGCUCCUGGGAGAGGGCGAGUCGGUCGAGGCGGUGGCGGGCGUCGGUGUCGUCGAUGGUGCACGGGCCCAACCGGUUGGUGACUGCGCCGCGGGGGGCCGGAUCGACCGCAGUCGGACAUCGGCUGGGUUGGAGCAGGGGGUUGAGUCGGUGUCGGACCUCCGAGAUCGGCUCGUCGCCCAAGCCGCUGGCAGUCGUCCGGGCGGGGUUGCGCCGGGUCCGGGUGCGGCCGGAGUGCGCCUCGCCGGGUGGCUAAGACGCCGUGUUCUGGUGGUCGCCGGGUCCGCCGGCGCGGGCGGAGCCGGAUCCCGCCGGCUUGGCAAGUUGGUUGAGGCGGUCCUGCUAUGCGUUAGCCGCAGCGAGGAGGUCAUUCACCCUUUUGAGGCGUUCCUGCAGCUCUUCGCCCGCGAGCUGAUCCAGGCCAACUGCGACCGCCUGAGCGGCGCACAUGUUCUUCAGGGGAGACUCGUAGACGGGAGGGAUGGCGCCGAAGGAGCGUCCGAUCGCGCCCCCGGGCCCGCACGUCGGCGACCUAGCUUGGCUCAGGCGUAUUCGGCGUGAAGCCGUAGGCGGCGUUGCGCUCGAGCUGAGCGGAGUUGAGGCGAUACUGCAUGGCGGCGAGCGUCCUGGUGAGGUCCAACAAGCGCUGGCAGUCCUCGUCGAGACGAGUCCGGGCCUCGGCGAUGUUGGAGGCAUCGAUGUCGGUGCCGAUGGGGACGCGAAGGCUCUGCAUCGUGCCACGCAGCGGGUUGGGCGAGCCGGCCCGUUCCGCUGCGGCCCUGGCUUCGGUGGCCUUCCUGGCCACGCUGGACGAGGAAGAGGCGCCGGUGUCGGUGAUGAAGACCUCCAUGCAGACGUCCAUUGCCCUGGCGGGAGUGCUACCGCCGAGGGUAAGGGGGGAGUCGGAAAAGUCAAGUACCUCGCUGGGGUACUCGUCGGCCGCAGGCGCAUCAGAGAUGCGCAGCGCGGCGAAGGAGGCGGCAGUGCGUCGAUGACGUCGUCCGCCAGCGUGACGGGCUCGUCGGAGUCGGAGAGGAGCCCCGUCUGAAGCAUGCUGCCGGCCAGGACCUCGAGCUGCCCCACGGUUGGCGCCAACUGUCGUGCUGGGCGCACGGCAGAUGCUAAGGGAUGGCUAAAGAUAGGAGGAGGCUCGAGGGCACUGGUGGGCUCCAGAGGCGAGGUUGGCAUGAGCGAGCGCGGGACGCAAGACAUACCCAAGUUCGGGGCUCUCCGGAGAGAUAACACCCGUAGUCCUGCCGAGUGUAGUUGAUGUGUAUCAGUACAGAGUUGCUCCUAGAGCUGUAUGGAGGAAGAAGGAAGGCAGUCCAAGGCUUAGGCUGCUCCCUCUCCUUGGGUGUUGCUUGCUAUGUGUGUGUGAGUGAGUGAUCGCCCGUAUGCACGAGGGCUCCUAGGAGGUUUUAUAGGUAAACCCCCUAGGAGUACAAUGGUAAUGUUACAAGGCCGUGGGGCCAGGUUGUCAUCGUCUGGGAAGCCGGUGCUGGGACCCGCCGGGUGUCAGGGCUCGCCGGGUUCUCCGGGUGCGGGACCCGCCGGGAGUAGGGGCACUGUUGGCUGUCUUAUCGGUCGUCAGGGAGUAGCCGAGUUGAGUCCGCUAUAGGGGCGUUCCGUCAGGUCGCCGCUUGCUGGCGUCGGCAGUGACGACGGGCGCACUGUAGCCAUGCCAACCCUGGUCAGCGGGUAGGUGGGGCACUAUUGCCACGCCCGGCUGACCAGAGGCAUGGGCGGGGCACUGUUGCCUUGCUCAUCUCUGAAUGAAGACUCGUCCUAUCGUACGGCCUGGAUGGGACGGGAGCUGACCCGUGGCCGGGUUGGGGAAUACGCCAAAGGGAAGCUUUCUUGUUGGGGAAGUCUUGAUGCGCCGGGUUCGGCUGCCUUGCAUCGGCCGUUAGGGCCGGGUUGAGGAAUUUGGCCAGGUCGAGGAGCUUAACCGGGUCAAGCGUGGGCCGGCUUGAGGGGCGUUGCUGGCCCCGUUGUUUUUAAAAAGGAUCUGGGUUCCGUUGCCUACCUGGGGUUCAUCCCCCCGACACAGGCUAAAGUACUUUAACCCUAUCCGCUACUCACCCCAUCACCUGCAACGCUCAGGUAUGGGCCGUCCCAGUUUAUGCUUUUUUUAAGUACUCCGUGUGUCCCAAAAUAAGUGUCGCUAAUUUAAUACAAAAUUAUACUAAAUCAAUGACACUUAUUAUGGGACAGAGGGAAUAUCAUGCUAGCAUUGUCUCAAAAAAAGGUAGUAUCAUGCUAGCACCAGUUUCCUGCAGUGUUUCCUAUCGUCAAGCAAAAAACACUCGAAAAUGUUUGAUAAUUUGAAAAAGGUAUGCAGAUUCAGAAAAAGUCCAUCAAUUUGAAAAAUAGUUUCUGAAUUCAAAAAACAUUCACAAAUUUGAAAAAGUUCGCAAACUCAAAAAAAUGUUCAUGGUUUCCAAAAAUGAACUCACAUUUGGAAUAAGUUGGCGAAAUAGAUUUUUUCACUAUUACAAAAAAUUUCAGGAAUUCAGAAAGUUCACAAAUAGAAAAUACUAUAUUUGUUCAUGAAUUCUAAAAUAUGUUCUCAAACUCGAGAAAAUACACUAUGAACAUUUUCUUGUAAAAAACAAUUUUUUGUACUAUAUUUUUUUCUAAUAUACUGUGAGCAUUUUCUAAAUAUAUGUUGAAUACUUUCAAAAUACAGUGAAAUUUUUUUCAAAAAAAUACACAUUUAAUUUUUUAAUAUAAAUUUUUUUUUUUUAAUGUAUUGUGAAUGUUUUUCCAAAUACACACUGAACAUUUUUCAAAAUACACAUUGAACAGAUUUUGAACUUUCAAUCAAUUUUCUAAGAUUUUGAACAUUUUGAAAUUUAUGAAUUUAAAAAAUAAAAUGGUGAAAAACAGAAAACCAAAAUAAAAUAUAUAUUGACUUUUCUAAUAAAGGGAGGUAAGAAUUUUAGCCUGUCAUUUUUAUUUGCAGAAAAGUCCAUGUGUUUCUUUCAAUUAACCCGCAUUCCACGGUUCUUUCGUACAUCCGUCCAUUGGCUUGGCCGCACGGGAUCGAGCAGUGUAUCGAGCAGCCUCCCAUUUCGUAUGUCGGUCUCGAGCAUCCCAUCUUGCACGUUUUUCUUAAGGGCCGCUAAAAACAUCAUGGGCCAGAGUUUCUUUUACGGGCCAUUAAAAACAGUUGUUCUUGUUCUUGACAUAACUGUUACUCCACCUACGUUCGCCUGGAAACGAGGAGGACCAAUGAUAUAGGAGAGGAACAAGACACUCCAGGCUGCAAAUUUUUCGGUGGUCGACACUAGAAUUCUGCUGGGCAAGAAUUUUGAUUUUGCAUAUGAAUUUGGAGACUAAGAUGGUCAAAUCAGAUGUUAGCCUCUGCUCAUGUGGGGAGAAAGUUUAACUGAAAACUAAAAAGGUGCAUUUUGUGAUGCUAAUACAAUUUGAGAUAAUAUAGCAUGGAGAGUUAAACAUUUUUGGCAGAAUAGUAGAAUAUCGAAUCAGCGCAUCUAUCAAAACAAUAUUAUUUAGAGGUAGAAUAACCAUGUGCAUAGAAUUGCAUUGUUUAAUUAUUCAGGGCAUAGAAGAGUAAUACUUUUUGCAAACACAAUACCAAAACAUAGUUACUUGUGAAGACAAAGUUGCUGAUCAUUUGAUCAUGUAGUAGCAUUCGCACAGAGGCGAUAUAUUUACUAAUGGAAAACUAAAUCACUUGAAAAGAUGGAUGUAUGCCGAACAUCGCCAUUCCUUUUAUGAGCACUUCAAAUGCUGAUCGAAGCUCUUUUUAGGAUUAUUAGUGCAUCUUCUUUGGUGGAGGCAAUUUCUUGGCUUUAGUUCCAUCCAAGUAAUCCACAAAUUUGUUCCUAAAUAAAUAUUAAGCAUACAUGGAGAAGUUUUAGCUUCUAAGUGGUAGUUUAGACCUUUUGUAGGACUUCUUUCUAGUUCUGGGUGAAUCAUUUUUGGUUGCAGUACCAAUAUCAGAAGAUCGUGCUUCUUGUUCCUUGUCUGAAUAUGGUGCUAUGUGUUCCUACAAUUAUUCAAAGAGAAUCACAGUGAUAAUGAAGCAAAUUAUUAUAGUCAAGGGUAUAGAAAAGUAAGAAAUGUUGUACAGUUGCAACAUGUAUAGGAGAAAUCUGCACUCCACUGUUAUCAUUUCCAUCACUGUUGUCACUGUCCUUGUCCUCGAGUUCUUUCUUGUUACUGAUUGUGUUUACCUAUCAAAUACAUAUCGUGAUAGAUUAGUUUAGUACAACUUGAGCAAGGACAUGUGAGUAUUUAGUUGUAGUUUUGAGUGAUUACAUCGCUUCCAUCCGCAUGAGCAUCAAAGAUUGAGUUGGCUAUUGCCUGACAAUCAUGUAAAGUGCAAUUAUACAUUAGGUAAAANNNNNNNNNNNNNNNNNNNNNNNNNNNNNNNNNNNNNNNNNNNNNNNNNNNNNNNNNNNNNNNNNNNNNNNNNNNNNNNNNNNNNNNNNNNNNNNNNNNNNNNNNNNNNNNNNNNNNNNNNNNNNNNNNNNNNNNNNNNNNNNNNNNNNNNNNNNNNNNNNNNNNNNNNNNNNNNNNNNNNNNNNNNNNNNNNNNNNNNNNNNNNNNNNNNNNNNNNNNNNNNNNNNNNNNNNNNNNNNNNNNNNNNNNNNNNNNNNNNNNNNNNNNNNNNNNNNNNNNNNNNNNNNNNNNNNNNNNNNNNNNNNNNNNNNNNNNNNNNNNNNNNNNNNNNNNNNNNNNNNNNNNNNNNNNNNNNNNNNNNNNNNNNCCAAGAUGACUUAGUUGAUGUGUUGCUUGACCCAGAGCAGUGUGUUGCUAAAAUUAGUCCUUGUAUACAAGCUGCAUUUUUUCGGCACAAAGAAUAACUUCAGUGAUAAAAAAAAAGUCCAUAGAUGGAGAAAGAAUUGGGGGAAGAGGAGAUGGAGGAACGAGGAAUAAUUGGAACUAAUUGCAGACAUAAGAAUCACCAAUCGUUGCUGCAGCCUGCAGAAUGAUUUGCAGAAGUGAGGAGAGUGGAGAACGAGCAGAGGCAAGGUUGGGAUUAUAUGGGCGUGCAUGAAUUGAGUGAAAAUUAUGAAUCCCCAAUUGUAAGAAAUCUGCAACAAUUGGCGUCUGGCGCAUCAGACUGUGAGUAAUGGCUGGUUAAACUCUCAAUCAAUCAUCGUUGAAUUGGCGAUAGAACCUGAAAGGACGCAUACCUUUUUGCCGCCACAAACCAUGCUGCCGUGCCGUGCAACCAAACGGGUUGAGUAAAUCAAGCUUCCACCGACGCCAUGAGCCGGAUUCCAGAACAAACGAAACUAAAUAAGCAAGAGAAAAAGGUGGAACCAGAACAGGGAAAAUAAAGAAUGUGUACGACAGUUUGUACCUUGGAUAAAGCAUGUGCAUGUCAAUCGAUUAGGCUUCCCAUUGAGAAGCUGAAAGGAUGUAGACAAGUACUUGUGUCCUUUUUUGAGGAUGCUGCACCCUGAUGGUAAGCCGGUCAGGGGGAUGGGACAUGAAACGACACUGACUGGAGAUCUUUUGCUUCCGCGAGAGGAAUGGUUGUGGUUUCGUAAGAGGCACGACCGUGCCUCUUUCGGGAAGGAAAAAAACCGUGCUCCUGGUUUGGUUUUUUAGUCCGGUUUUUUCUUGAAAAAAGUUCGUCAAAACCUAUCAACAUCUGAUCUAGUUUUGAAGAUCUCGACGCGAUAAACCCAACGAUGAAAAUGAUUCGAGAUUUGAACACACGGUAUAAGAGAUAAAUGUUUUGAAUAAAUGGAUCUACAAAAAAGGAAAAACUCCCAGGUUGCGACAAGUGGCGCACAUGUAGAGCGCCACUUGUCACAACCUGAGGAGGCGGGAGUGAUCUUUGCAAGGAGUACUCCUCAAUUAGUGAUUUCUCCCUUUAGGAAAGUUGGGCCAGGAAUCAAAUGUGCAGUGGAAGUAAAAAAGACACAGCAAAUCUGACGGUGAAGAAUGCACAGAUCAUGAAAAUAGACGGCCAGAAACACUCAGUGCGUGAGAGGGCUGGGAAGCUCAGUUUUAUUGUCCUAAAUUAACAGGAGUGACUGUGGGGUGCGAGCUUUGCACACUUAAUUAAGAUGGGNNNNNNNNNNNNNNNNNNNNNNNNNNNNNNNNNNNNNNNNNNNNNNNNNNNNNNNNNNNNNNNNNNNNNNNNNNNNNNNNNNNNNNNNNNNNNNNNNNNNNNNNNNNNNNNNNNNNNNNNNNNNNNNNNNNNNNNNNNNNNNNNNNNNNNNNNNNNNNNNNNNNNNNNNNNNNNNNCACACAUCAAUUGGGCAUUAAAUCGACAACGUAAAAAAAAUCCGAAAUAGAUUUCCCUCGGUUCGUUACAUACGCCCAGAACGAAACUUCACAAAUAAAUGCACCUUUAAUGAUUAUUUCAGUUACAAAAUUUUCCACAUAUUCUAACUUCUAUAUUGACCCAUGAAAAUUCCUUUUUUUCUUUUGGUAAAUUUUUAAAAAACUAUAUGGAUAAACCACAUUGUAUUACACUAAUAAGCUGCAUUGCAUAGAGUAAUACAUUAAUGUGCUACUUGUCAAUUACCGUUUGAUUAAAGUUGAAUCCUUACACUCUAAUUUUUUUCGACCAUGGUACAAUGCUCACAUACGCACAUAUACACUCACCCUAUGAAUGCAUGCAUACAUGCACACCCUAUCCCUAUGAGCACCCCCUAGAUGCGUAGACGAGGGACCUACACGAGCUGUACGCCAUGCCGAGGAGUCGGAGGGGCCGACAGAGAAAGACUCGACGACGGUUGCGGCGCCAAUCGGCGCGGGGCCGAUGUCGCCAACGAUGGUCGGAGUAGACGAAGUGGUCGGGGAAGAUGACGGCGACGCUGGCGAAGAGCAGGUGCUGGACGAAGCUGAAGGGGGUGGAAGGGCGGCGUCGGCGGUUACAGGGUUAGCAGCGGCGACGGCCGAAGAAGAGCGGUGAUAGCGGCCUGACGACGGCGACGGCUGGGUUAGGAGUGCGCCGGUGGUGCUCGAAGUAGGCGAGGAACCCAACAGCAUGACGAAGACUGUCGCGGACGGUGGCGUUCCCGCACCAAGGGUGGCGGCGCGGCGCAUACCAUGGGAGGUCGACGCAUGGGGACGUCAGAGUGGACCGCGGGCCGCGAUGCUACGACCCAAAGGGAUUACGCAGUGGCGGGCAGGUCGGGGCAACGACGAGAAGACAUCGGAGUGGUGCGUGGAUCGCUUGCCGCAUCGCUACGGCCCGAAGGGGCGGUGCAGCUGCGGUGUGCGGGCGGUGAUGCCGCGCGUGCGGCCUCGGGCGGCGGCGGUGACUGUGUUUCGUGAUGCUAUAGCUCGAAGAAGGGGUGUAGCGGCGGGUCGGGGGUCGGGGCAGCCGCGAGGAGAACCACUGGACGGGGGCGACGACCCGAUAGCCCUAAGGGACGAUGCAGAGGCGGUGGCUACGGGGGUAGCAGGCGGGAGGAUCUCGGGGUGGCGGCGUGGACCGCGUCACGUGAUGCGACAACCUGAAGGUGCAUCGGCGAGAGUGGGGCGCGGGUCGGGGCAGCCAGCGUGAUGACCUCGGGGUGGCGACGCAGUGAUCCGAAGGGAUGACGCGACGGCAACCUAUGGCUCGAUCGGUGGUAGGCGCGUGCUCAGGGACGGCUUGACGAGGACAUGCGCGUGAUCGGUUGAUCAGACCGAUGCAACGCUGUACGCGCCAUGGCGGGGACGACCCGCAGAUCUGAGUCGAUGGCGAAGUUGUCGGUGAUGUUCCGGGCGAUGACGACAAAGACAGACCGGCGAUGGAGACCGCACGGAUGAGCGGCCGGCAGCGAGGCACGAAGGCGUCCCUUGGGCGGCGCGUCCAGCCUUGCCACGCUGUUGAUGACGAAGUGGCCGGUGUAGUCGAUGCCGAUGUUGGAGUAGAGGCGCGGGGGUUGACGGUGGCGGCGGGCGACGUAAACCGAUCUUAGAUCGGAAAACCCGAAAGAAAAGGCCGAUCAAAGUGACUGGCCAGAGAGAGAAAACCCGGAUCAAAGGAUCGGGAAAAAGACUCUUUAGGGCAGCCGGUCAACAUGACCGGCGGAUGAACCCUAGGUACGGACGGCGCGGCCCCCAACGGCGGUCAUGGAGGCCGACCGCCUCAGGGGCGACGCGCGGGGCGGAAGCGGCGGGCAAGGGCUAGGGUUGGAUCGGUUAGGUUGAUACCAUGUUAGAAACGAUAGAGAGAGAUUGAUGAAAUUAAUUGAUGUAUUGCUUGAGCCUCGUGGGCAUAUACAGGGGUACAUAAUCUAUUUUUUUUUUGCAUGGUGAAAGGGAGUUUUACUCCAAAAUGAUAGGGUUACAAUCUCGAAACAACUGCUCCUCACAACAUGAAGGACUCGAGUUCAACCAUACCGCAGUACAAUACUCGGUACUACUAUAGUGUGCCAAAAGAUGUGCUACUCUAUUCUGCUCUCCACCAAUUUUAUAAGAAACAAACUCCCUAGCAACCGUAUGAGCUUUAAUCUCUGCGUCAAGAUGACCAUAGGCUGAUCUGGAAAGUGUGGCGUCUACUUGGAGUAUAAGAAAAGACAGAAUACUUCUUAGUCUAUCCUAUGUUUCCAAUACAAUCACGAUACUCAACAGUGCAUAAGUACGUAUGUACUCGCGCAUCUAUAACCGGAAUCAAUUAACCUGUUUAGGGAUUUAACUUCGCUAUGUAUACGUGCCUGACUGCCUAUGUGUUUGUACGAUGUGAGUGACAACUCUCCUCCUCUCUUUUAUGACUAAUGUUAUUUAAUCCGAUGAUCAAAACUUCAUCAACUUUGACCAAGUUUAUAGAGAAUAAUAUCUACAUAUAUACUAUCAAAUUCAUAUCACUACAUAAAACACAAGAUAGACUUUCAUAUUAUAUUUAUUAUUGUAUUAUUAUUGUUUAUAUUUUUCUCAAUAAACUUGGUCACUGUUUGACUUUAGAAAAAAACUAUGUACACUACAUUGUGGAAUUAAAUAUACAGACGAUGGAAUUGUUGAUAUUUCCAUGUUGCCGUGUACUAUCUUUACCUUUCAUUGAUAUAUCUAUAUCUAUAUCUAUCUAUAGCUACUAUUAAAGCAAAGUGAUAUUCUUAGUUUCGUUCCGCUUAGAUGAUUUUGUAUUCAACAUAUAUACCUGAGGUGGUACUAAUUCGAGGUGCUUCGUAACUUCGUUCGGUGCUUUCAGAUCGAUCGCUGCAAAGGGCUGUGUCUUGCUCCACCGGUACGUACUGGGCCAGGAGCGAACACUAGUAGAAAAAAGGCCUUUAGUCCCGGUUCUGGAACCGGAACUAAAGGGUCGUUACUAAAGCCUCCCCCUUUAGUCCCGGUUCUUACACGAACCCGGACUAAAGGCCCUCCACGUGGCUGCUGCCUGGAGGUCCACUUUUAGUCCCGGUUGGUAACACCAGCCGGUACUAAAAGAAAUUUUAUGAUUUUUUUUUUUAAAAUUGAAUUUUUUUGAAUUUUCAAAUUUCUGAAUUAUUUUAACCUCUAAUCUCUAAUCGCCCCUCAUCAUUGCUCAAUUUAACCUCUAAUCUCUAAUCAUCUAACUUCCCGGACGGUCACCCAUCCUCUUACUACUCCAGCCUGAGCACGCUUAACUUCCGGGUUCUAUUCUUCCUCGUUUCCAAGUCUGCACUUGUUGUUUUCGUGACAAUAGUAAGAUGUCAAUCCUAUUAACUCUCAGGAAUUUAGCUUGAGCAUGAAGUCACAUAUUUCACUGUUUGAGUUUGAAACUAUUGUUCUAAAAAACAAUAAUUAUUUAGUAACACUAAUAUUUCUUGAAUAAGUAGUUUAACCAUAGUUUCAUCAGAUUUGACCAAAAUUCAAAAAAACUGAAAUAAUUAUUUAGUAACACUAAUAUUUCUUGAAUAAUUAGUUUGACCAUCGUUUGACCAGAUUUGACCAAAAUUCAAAAAAACUGAAAUAAUUAUUUAGUAACACUAAUAUUCUUGAUUAAUUAUUUAGUAACACUAAUACUUCUUGAAUAAGUAGUUUGUCCAUAGUUUUUUCCUGACAUCGUAUGCAAAAGUUAUAGCCGUUUUACAUUUUGCCUAUAGUUUUUGCAAAACAUGUCCAAAUUUAAGUUUUUAAAUUUUCCUAACUAGUACAUGUAGUAACAUAACUACAUCUGGAAGGAUUUUAAUUUUUGAAGUUUUUAUCAUUUUCUUUUGCUUUUUACAAAACUGAAAAGGCGAUCCAGGGGGGGGGGGGGUAGAGUUUGAAAAUGGGACCUUUAGUACCGGUUCGUGCCAUGAACCGGUACUAAUGACCCCUUUAGUCCCGGUUCGUGGCACCAACCGGGACUAAAGGUCCUAUUUGAACCGGGACUAAUGCCUGUAUGGUGCCCUAGCCGCUCGAACCGAGACUAAUGCUCACAUUAGUCCCGGUUCGUAAUACAACCGGAAUUAAUGCUCUUUUCUGGCCGAACUAAAGCCCUGUUUUCUACUAGUGGAAGCAAGAAAGUGGGCCUUCCAAUAAUUUUUUUCUUGUGGGCUAGGAGUAUAUGGGUGGGCUUUCAGAAUAUUAAAAAAAUUACUACUGCUUGUAUGGUUGUUCGAUCUCACGAUCCUAAAAAAAAAGGUUGUUCGAUCUCACGACCAGCUAACUAUACAAAACGUUUCUAAAAAAAAGACUAACUAUACCAAACAAAUAAUAACGUGGCCAGAGCUAGCUGAAGAUUAUGCUUGUCUAAAUAAAGAGGUUUGUUUGCUAACAUAAUAGUCCCACCUCACUUUUUAACACGAAAUAUGACCAAUUUAUAUAAUUGCGUGAGGUGCAUGUACAAACAACGAGCCGCUUGGAGAAGCAACAAACAAAUGGUUAUCCGCAAGAAUUAACUUGGAUUGGGGGCUGCAUGAGAUAAAUAGAGGAGGGCCCAAAAAGCCUAGGGUUUCCGCUGCCCCCCGCCGCGUAGCCGCCAGGCUGCCUCGUCUCCUGUGCAUCCCGGUCCUUGCCGGCUUGUUUUUAGGUUUUUUAUAGUUUUGAUAGGGUUCAUGUCCUAUCAGAAAGACGGGGAGGUAGCGGCUCCCUAACGAUCCCCGCCAUGAUGAUGUAGCAUAAUCGGAGGAUGUGCGUAGGUUUUUCCUCGACGGAUAUCGCGGGAUUUGGUCGGCGUUUGUCUUUCGUGGAUCAACUUGGAUCCGCUCAUGGUUUGUCUAUGUCAGUGUGUCUACAAGUUGAAUUCUUCCGAUCUACGAUUCUCUUUAUCGGUGGCAGUUAUUGUUCCAGUGGUUGUAGUCGACGCUAGAUGGUCUACGGACCUGCAUAUAUAUUUAAAUGGGAUUGUGGGAUGUGUCUGAGAUACAAGAUUUCAUGGGAUUUUAAGAGAGAAUAAUAUUUAAAGAUGCCCUCGUGCCACUUUGGUGAACUUUUCAAUGGAAACAUAUUAAUUUACUUUUCCGUUGCAACGCACGGGUAUUUGUGCUAGUACCUACUAAUAAAGCAAGGUGAUAUUCUUGGUUUCGUCCAGCGAUUAGUAUUUUCUGUUUAAUUUUUGCACGUACUAGCGGUCCGUCCGUCUUAUUUUGCUCACGUACGAGAUGGUACUAAAUGUUGUUUGAUCUCAGUUUUGAGUCCGUUGCAGGGUGCCUGGGCCUGAGCCUGCUUCGUACAGAUACUAAAAAAGGCCACAUGAGUCAUGCUGGUCAGCUGGCUUUGGGCCUUGCCAGGCCAAAUUGUCCUGGCCCACCCAGGUGGCCGAUGCAACAAAAUUCUGGCUGGUGGGCAACUUGAACACACAACAUCACGUUCGACAGCUCGACCAACUAAGCUGGAUCACAAGAUCUGAGAAUACAAUGUUGAUUAACCUAUUAAAUAGUCCCACCUUGUUUGUUUAGAUCUAAUUUUUCUAAUUUAUAUACGUCUUGAUUUUUUUGGGGUAUCAAGGAGCCAUCUCAGGAAUCAUUGAGGAAAUAAGACAUCUCAUAAUAAGGAAAGAUAUUGAGAGAAUAAGGAAAGAAAGAGGGAUUGAGAGAAUAAGGAAAGGAAGAGGGAUUUCAGACGUGAUUACAAAAACAAAGAAGGAAAGAGGACCGAUAUAGAAGGAAAGAGGGAAUUAAAUAAGAAGGCAACCCAGCGUCUGUCGUGACCGAGGAUCGGAUUCCAUCUGUGAAAGAUGUGAAGUAAAAGGAUAUAUUGGAACAAAAAGCAUGUACGUCACAACUCAAUUAUGAGUCGGGAAUAUAUAGAAAACAUGUGUACAAUUAUUUUUGAUGGAACAUGCAAGUUGAGUUUAACUUGAACACAUACAAAAAUAGAUGUCUUUGCACUAGAAAAGAAAACUUAGAUCAUGGCCGAUCAAGAUUUUGAGUUAUUUAAAAAAAUAAUGAGAUGCACUAACGUGCGGCGGCCGAUCCCCCAUAUCAAACGGUGUGGCGCCCAUCACGUUGGAAGGCAUGAGCUGACACGCCCGUGCAUUAAUAAUACAAUUUGAUUUAUAUACUAAUUGCCAAAUAAUAAAAAGAAAUAAAGUAUUACAUAUAUAUUAUUUCUUUAAAAUUAGCUUAUAGGGCUUAAACAUAAAAAUUUAACCAGUAAAACAGGAGAUAAGAUUAAAGCUAAAGUAAAGUAUAAUCCAAUUCAAAUCAAAGUAGACUAUAUUUUUUAAUUCGACAAGAAAAAUUAAUAUGAAUAGUUACUUCGCCUCAUAUACCAAGACAAUUUUUAAUUAUUCUCCAAAAAUAUUAUAAUUUUCAUACAUGUUAUGAGGCUUAUUCAGUUAAUGAGCUGAUGAAUUUCUUCUUUGUGUGUAAAUUUGUUGAUCUGCUUUGUUUGUAACUGAAUUGGUAAGUAUUUUGUUUAGGUGCACAUGCCACAGUUGAACUACUUCUUUAUAUCAGAACUGUUGACGUCAAGAACUAAGAUAUGAUGUUGUAAUACUAAUAUUUGACAUAUCAAAAUUGUUUAACUCAAGAAAAAAGUUAUGUAUAACACACGCAAAAGAAACUAUGUCUAAAUCAUGAUAAAAAGUCUUCAUUUUUUGUUGGUCAUAUGCUAUAUUUUUUUGAGAACAAAAUAAAUUAUCAUUCUUAUUUUUCUGCUCGACUCAGAAGCACUCGUCACCAAAGUACAAGGAGUCAGACUCGGAGUACCUGCUAUGUGAGACACAAACUCUGCAUUUUUCUCUGUUAUAUUAUACAAAGAUAGGGGAUCUUUGUACUACGCUCCUAAUAUUAUGUUGUUUCUCAUCUAACAGUGUGGAGGAUUUCAAGAAGUUUGUUCAUGUCAUCAUGUCUUUGACGUGAGCCAUUGCAUUAGUGAAGUGAGGUUUUUGUCUCCCGUUGCAACGCACGGGCAUUUGUGCUAGUAGUAUGAUAAAAGAAUCACCAGCACUCCCUAGAUAAUUUUUUUAUAACAAGGCAAUAAAAUAUUCAAGUAACAUAAUUGGUAAACCAUACAUAUAUGUAAAUUAUACUGAUAAUGAUAGUUCCCUUUCGCAACAUGGUAUCCAAUACUGAUUGUUGCAUGUUAUCAGUUGCAAUGGUUCUAAAAUAGUUAUUAUUUUACUUUUUUGCAUGGAAUGAAAGUUAAUUGAACUAAAACUCAUCCUCGUUGCUGCAGGAGCCAUCACUGCUGCUGGCAGACGCACUGCCUUGCGCUUGUUGAUGAUGUCGGCGAUGAUGCAUAGGACGCUUCCACAGCUCCUCUUCAUCCGGCGCUCGCCUUUGCUCAGCCGCCGUACCAGCCACGAUGACGGGAAGAGGUCGACGAGGCAGAAGCCUCCCAUGAGAUCCAUGAUCUCAUCGACCAGGCGGAGGUACUCCUCCUGCCACACGAAUUUGCCGCCGAACACGGCCCGCGUCACGAUGCCGUUGCUGAGCGCUGCCACCUUCUUGCUAAUGUUGAUGGUUGCGGUGCCAGCCGAGGACGCGAUGGAGCGGACAAGGUCGUCCACCUUCUCAGUCCUGAUGCCCUCCAUGCGCCUCACUUUCUUGGGGCUGAGAAGCUCCAUGACGCAAACCUUCCGCAUCUGGCGCCAAUGGUCACCGUAGGCGGCGAAGAUGAUGCCCUGGCCGCCGAAGCCGAUGAUGUCCUGCAACCCGGUUGUCCGCCGGUUGAAGCACGCGGCGUCAUUGGUCUUCAUCACCUGCGCCACCGCCUCGGCGCUGGAGACCACCAUGGCAGGGAGCUUGCCGAGCUUGAGGAGCAUAACUGGCCCAUGCCGGUGACACAGCUCGGUGAUGGUGCGGUGUGGGAGGGUGCUGACGACUGUUGGCGCCGCCUCUCCUCGCGGCGCCACUUCUUCUUCUUCCUCUCACAACUCUCUUGGAAUAUAUCUCCAGAAUACACACCAUGGAAGAAACCGAGAAAAAACACACACACACACACGUACCAAGGAAGAAAGCCAGCUAGCUUUGUCGGGAGGCUAUCCUCCUUAGUGGCACAAGUGCUACAUUUUGUUGCUGCCCUCACGGCCUCUUUUCCAUUGACUCAAAGCAGUACAUAUAUAGGGGACUCAGGCACUUGUGCCACGAACUCACGCCACUAACCGGCCUCCACAUUCAGCCACUAACCAACUAACCCAUGCACUAAGCUAGCUAACAACCAGUGUUUUAAAUAGCCCGCUAUAUAGCCUUUUCAGCAUGGUGCCGCUAAAUGAUCGCGUUCACAAAUAGCCCGCUAUAGCCCGCUAUAGCUGAUUUGGAUGCCCACUGCUAUUUUCCAUAGCCCGCUAUUUAAAACAUUGCUAACAACCCGCUGGCACACAUGACACAUCCACCUCUCCCUGGAAUCGCUCCAUCCUACGGAGGACUCGCCGGCCGGCACUAAUUCUUAUACUAAUCAACCAUGCAUAUGUGCAAUGACUAGGUCGAACCCACACAACGUGUAAAAAUGCAUGUGUACAACUAAUGUCAAGAUUAAUGCUAACAACGAUAUGGUGGAGGCUGUCGACGAUGAUGGGGAGAGUCUAUGGUCCAGGCGGCAGCUGCGACUUCCUUGGGCUGUUGCUCCUGCCGGCGGCGAGCUUGAGAAACCAAAUGUAUAACAGGGUGGAUAGGGCUACGAAGCACCAGAUAGUUUCCAUGGCAGGUAGGUAUAGCUAGGUUAUGGUCAGUUCGUUGUCAGCCGAGUGAUACAUAAUAUAGCCGCGCCUACUGUCAUGUCGAUAAUAAAGAAAGAAAUUAUGGAACCAUCGCAGCCUCCUGUCACGCCCCCCUUGAUGACCAUAGAAAAUGAUUGAUCUUUAGCAGUUAGCAGCCAGAACCGUAGAACUAGCCUUUUUUGUCAUGGAAAAUUUGACCAUAGACAUGGGUUGUUUCAUUUGAUUUCCAUAGCUGCCGCUAGCAUAUAUACAAAUAACCAGCAGCCGGGCAUGCAUGGCUAGCUUGACUAUAAAACGAGCAUGUAACUUGGUCAGACCAUAUAAUAUAUCCAAACAUAUAUGUGGUAGCGUGUGUUUCCCACCUUUUGUUCUAUUGGUUUGUUAAUUGCUUCCAGGAUGAUUUAUUUACGGUUUACGCCCACAAAAAACCUUGAGAUGCUAUUACGAAAAAACGAUGCAAAAAUGGGGAAGAACUCAAUUAUGGAACGGGGGCGACCCAUGAACAAGCUACACCUUGUUUAUAUAUAUAGAUAAACACAGCUAGCAAACAUUAAUAAAUUCCUUCCUGCUCCUAUAAAGAGUCACAUAUAAUCCAAAGUGUUAUAAUCGGUGGAUUUGCUAGCUUAGUCCAACAUCAAUCGUCUGAUCUGGACAAGGCGACCCUCCCCACCAUGUAGCGUACAUAGUAUUCUGGCAUAGUUGACACAAUAUUUUGGUCAUUUAAUUGUGGCAUGCUUAACUUUUUGGGUUAUGGUUUUUUUCCAUUUCUUUCACAAAUCGCUCAUAUUUUCUCUUUAGUAUGAUGCAAUGAACCUAUACUUCAAGUAAUAUUUAGAAAUUAUAUCUUCAGUUUCCAUUGCAAUGCGUGGGAACCGGAUCCUCUAACAUUGAGACGGAAAGUUAGAGGAGCUAUACAAUACCCUAACUUUCCUUCUUUCUAUCCAUAUGAUUAUGGCUAAAAUGACUAAAAUUAAUUUGCAAAUUGAUGAUCUACCGUGUACAUUUAUAGUAAUUACAUACAAUCAAAUUGAUGGCGAAAUAAAAUUAAUUUUAAAUUAUUUAUAUCUACAGUAAAUACCAACAGUAAACAACCUACUAACUACCUACUAACAGUCCCUAACUUUCCUUCUUCAGUUUACACUAGGCAAACACUGUAGCACUGUGACUUUCCUUCACAAUGUUAGAGGAUCCGGUUCCCAAUGCGUGGGGUACAAUUUAGUUCGUUAAACAUGAUAGGUAAUUUUCCCGCAACUUCUUGGACUUCAUUUACGAUACUAUCAUAUAAAAUGACCCAGGUUUAAAAAGAUUUCAUAAAAUGACCCAUUUCCAUGAUGCCCGGGUUCGGGGCGCCACGAUAAACAUCACGACGCCCUAAGGCCAUGGAAUCAGCGCUGACAUACCACAUCAGAAUUGCUUGGGACCAGGACGCCCGGGGUCAGGGCGCCAUGGGCAAUAGCAUGUCACCCCAGCCCAGGGCACCAUGCACAUGAACCAGGACGUAACUCAUGUAGUUGUACUAGCACUUAAUCAGCAGCUAUGCUCCUUACGGCCAGCUGGAUGGGUCAAGUCCAAGUGAUCACAUACUGAUGCUAUGCAGAGUAAGAUGAGACGAGACUGAAGUUUCUGAACAUGACUAGAAUAAUCUGUGUUGGUAGGUGUAGAAUAGAAUACUCUAGUAUAUUUUGUGAGCUGUUGUUAAUUAAUCAUUUAGAUGUGCAAUAACUUGGGCCGCGCUAUUUGUCACCCUGAGUGAGACUCCUCUCUUAUUACAUCACUACACUACAUUUUUACGCCCCGUAAAUUUUGUCCUACAUUGAAAGUGAAAAAGAGAACUUAAGAAAAUGUAUGUAAGUCGAAAACAACAUUUCACAUGAUGUAAAAUUAUGAACAUAAAAGUAUAGUGCAAAUAUACAUGUAAAUAUAAAAAUUUAUUAUUUAAUCACUUAUAUCUUACUUUUCUUAUACCGAUUUAUGUGUAGUGAAUCGAUAUGAUGUAAUUAUUCGUAGCCAAACAUAAAUUCUAAAAGUAACAACGUACAUUCUAAAAUAUAUUUUUCGUUUUUGAUGCACAACUCUCACUGUAAUGUUCACUUGUAGUAUGUCUACAGAAUAAGUGUAAAUAUAUAGGAAAUAAAACUAUUUUACAAGACAAAUACAAUGAUACCAUUUAUACAUGCUAAAUUCACAUAAUUUCGUAUAUAUUUGUGGUCAAAAUUAUGCGUUAAAGACCAUGCAAAGUCAAGCGCGCCUUAUAUUUUAUAUUUUGGGAAGGAGGGAGUACAAUAGAAGCUCGCCGUUGCACACAAUGAUUAUCAUCAUAUAUCAUCCCAUAUCUGGUUUAUCAUUUCACAUCCAACUUGACAUAUAUCACAAAGAUACUCUCUUCAUAAAAAAUAUAUAGGGCCUAAUACCUUUUUUGAGGUUGCCUCUGACCACGGUUUAGAGCAAUAAUAUAUGACAUGCAUGUUACACAAAGCAUACCGUCAAAUUUGUAUGUGAAAGGGGCUUCAAAUGAUAUAAUUUUAUAGCAUGCAUCUCAUGUAUUAUUAAUGUUAUGAAUGGUCAAAGGCUAUCUUGAAAAAUGUACUAGACCAUAUACAUCAGGAUGGAGGUGUUAGAGAAUAUUGUUCCGUUGUAAUCUCCAACUCCUUUCCUUCACAUGUUCUACUCAAACUCCUGUAAUCUUCCUUGUAUGCCAAGGCUUGGCUUUGGCCACAUCAAUAUAUACAAGACCGCGGCUCCCCUCGAGGGAGUAGGAACGCUUAUCAUCUUACAAGAGGGAGUACUAUUUUUAAUAUUUAUAUAUUAAUGCAAUUGUCGAUAUACUAAUCGAUUAACAUGAAAUAGGAUUGUAUAUCACAUUGGAUAACUUACAACAAAGGGUGUAGCAAAACCAGAUUGGACAAGAAACCAUCUAUAACCAUGUAUGCAUGCCUCGCCAAAACCUCGCAGGAAACAAAAAAAAAACGGAUUUGUCAUCAUAUGCCGAGGUAGGGACGUCUUAGGAUUGAUCACAUUCGAACGCGUUUGUGAUUGUGUGAGCAAUGAAGCCACUGUCGGCGAGGGUUGGAAGGAGAAUAAGAGGCAACAAGGAUUUUGACCUAUUGAGGUCUUGAGUCAAGGUUAAUAGGUUAGAGGCAUGUGGUAUUUUUUUUUCUCAGGUUGCAAUGCACGGGCUCUUUUGCUAAUUAUUCUUUAUCAAAACACCUGAUGGGAUCCUCACAAAGAAAAAAAACGCACAUGAUGGGAUGGUAUAAUAACAAUACUAAUGGACCCAACAGACAGCGUCGUCAUGCCCCUAUCUGGGAUGGUUGCAAUGCAUGCUGGAGCUUGACGUUGGUGAACCAAUGCCCCAACAGCAAGGAAGGGAAGUGCUCGGUGAGGAAGAGGCCAGCCGGCGGGUCAAUGAUCUUGUCGGCCCCGCGGUGGUAUAUAUGUCCAUUCCUCCAUCCCCUCGGAUACCGCCAGGCUCGUGAUGUCGUUGCUCAGCGCCGCCACCUUCUUAUUGACAUAAACCACAGCGGCGCCUGCCGAGGCCGCAACGGAGCGUACUCGACCGACCACCUCAGCGAUUGAGACCGCAAUGGUGGGGUCCUUGCAGAGCUCGAGGAGGGUCCGUGGCCCAUGCCGGCGACACAACUCCCGGAUGGUGCUGACGAUGUGCUGGAAGCUGCCGAUGAUGGGGGGAAUCCAUGGUCCAGGAGGUAGCUGCGGCUUUCUUGGGUUGUUGCUCCGGCCGCCGGCGAACUUGAGAAACAAAAGAUAUAAUAGGAUGGAUAGAGCUAUGAAACAUAAUAUAGCCUCCAUGGCACACAUGCAGCUAGCUUAUGCUCAAAUUCGUUGCUCAGCCGAGUGAUACAUAAUAUAGUGAGCUAGCAUGCGCACAUAUAGGAGGCAAGGUAUAGACGGAACAUGCGUGGAACAUAGCCGAGAGAGACCUUUCAAUGGGUAGAAGCCAUAGCCGCCGGCCAUGAGUGUCAGCACAUACGUAUAAUGUAAGGUACAUACGGGGAUCAUGAGUGGAAGCCAUAGCCCGUGGUUGGUUCGUAGAGAAAGAAGGAAAAUGAUAGCAGCCUGCUGUCGGUGCGCUCCCAUGGAUCUUAGCAGCCGGAAAAGAUGGUAGCUCACAAAGCCGAGAGGCCUUUGAAUAUGUUUCCACGUCCUUAGUCGUGGGAAACUUUGACCGCACAACUGGCUAGUAACCAGAUUAGUUCUAUAUAUAUAGCUUGUUCCACUAAUGAAAGUGCUCCGUUCCAUUAGAUCUCACACAUGUCUUGAUACGGGGUACAAUAUUAUAGGAACCUCCAACACACACAUGUCCCCACAACCUCACCUUCCUAUGACGGUAUAACAUCUGAGUCCGAACCGAACAUGGUGUGUGUGUGUGUGUGCGCGUUCAGGGGCGUGAGCGUAUGCGCGUAUAUAUGAGCGCUUUAGUAUACUAUGUUAAAAAAAAGAUGAAUCUCACUAAUUUAUUUGUACAUGCAUGCAUGUCACAUUAAAAAAUGAAUGAUCACCUCAACAUGCAACCUUGUAUGCAAAACACCCACUGCCACAUGCAACCAUGCAUGAGAAAAUAUGUAUAAUUCUACUUAUAUUGAACAAAUAUUUUUCAACUAUACAUAAUAAAAUAUAAUAAGUCGUGUGUAUUUUUUUAAUUCUGAUUCACAUGUUAUUAAUCAAAAUAUUCAUAUUCCACACUAUCAAAUCUCACUGAAAUAUAUUGCAACCGAUUUCUCCAGCAAUGCGCGUGCUAUCACCUGGUAUUCAUUAACAUGGCAAGUCAAUUUCCCGCAAUCACCAAUGAUUUCAGUUAUAGAUAAUAUAAUUCCUACUUACGCGAACAGAGAAAGUUAAAACCCAAUCCUAUAUGCGGUCUAUAGUAGGGGAAAAGUGAGUCGAUCGCCCAUUGACAAACAAAACAUGAAUCAUUUCACAAUGCUUGUUGUCGGUUCUUAUUUACUUUCUCGGUUUUUGUAAUUUUUUAGGUUUUUGCUUUUCCUAGGUUUCACUUUCCAAUUUCUAGUUUCCCGCUUUUUCCUAUUUCCUAAUUCCUUCAUCUCAUAUUAAUUGACGCUCAAAUGGAUGUAUCUAAACAUAUUUCAGUGCUAGAUACGUCCUUUUGAGGGUCAAUUAUUAUGGUAUGAAAGGAAUGUUUUACCCUUUUAAGUUUCUUUUGAAAUUCCAUUUUAUUUAUAUAUUUGGUUUUAAAUAUAUAAAUAAAUUGCCGAUAUCAUGGGCAUUAUUUAUAACAUGUGAACACUUUCGACCUAUGGCCAAACAUUCUUUACAGAAAUGGAAUUUUUGUAAUAUAAAUGACCAUUUAUUAAGGGAUGUGAACAUUUUUUUAUAAUUACACAACCAUAUUGAAAAAAAUACGUGAACACUUUAUUAAUUAGAUGAACAUUUUUUAAAUGCAUGAACACUUCUAGUUACAAGUAUAUAUAUAUUUUAAAUAUGGGAAUACUUUGUUGUAGAUUCAUGAUUUUUUUUAAAGCCUAAAAUACUUUUUAAAAUGAAACAAAGUUUUCUUAUAAUAUGACAAAAAUCGUAAAAACUAUUUUGACUUCCUCAAUUCGAUACCGAAUGCUAAAAAUGUAAAUAUAUAAUAUAUAUCUCUGUUUUUUUUCAUAUGCACAUGUUGUUGGCUCCCUUUUUGCACGAACCUCCAGGUUUUUUAAACCUUGGUUCUCUUUUUGUACAAACGUGCAAGUUUUUUAGCCUCAGAUGUGUCAAGCCAGGUGGUAUCGUAUCAACAUCGAUGUGCUAAUGGGCAUAUGAGCAGCACGGGUGCUAACGCCCGCAAUAAGUGAUGUAUAGUUUUUCCCCGGUUAGAGUAGUUUAAUUCUGUAUGUCAAUAUCUGGAUUUGUGAUUGGCAUGGCCAAUCCUAUUAGACGUCCGCAAAUUGAGCUGGCUUGGUCUUUGCUGUUUCCUUCGAGUUGCUGCUCCAGCGUUUUGUUUUUUGCUUUUGUGCUGAAGUUUUUUUUCCUGUUUUUUCCGCGGUUUCUUUCAUUGUGCUUCCAUUGUUUUUGUUGGUUUCCUAUUGUGGGUUUUGUUCCAGAUUUUUCGUGCUGUUUCAUUUAGCAUCACUGCUGCAAGUUUUUCUGAGUAUUUUGUUGUUGUUUUUCUUUUCCGCCUUUUUGGUUAUCUAUAUCGGUUUCUUAACUUUUUCUUUUUAAAAUAAAAGAUGGACAUUUUUAAUCACAGUGCACAUUUUAUUUUAACAUUGUAGACAUUAAUUUAAUAAAAAGUGAACAUUUUUUAUUACAGGAAGACAUUUUUUACAUGGUGAUCGAUUUUUAAUUGCACCACGAACAUUUGUUAAGAACGGUGAAACAAUUUUUUAUACACAGUGGAUAAUUUUUAAUACAUGGCAAAGAUUUUUUAAAUAUGUGCUGAACAUUUAUUGGAAGACACAAUGAACUAUUUACUAUGCUUAAAUAAUUCUAGAAAAACCAUGGCAAGAAAACCACAAAAAAAAUGACCAACACAUGAAUGUACCACCAUCUCUCAUAAAAGAUAGUGAGGCUGACACUGGGAAGCCACAUCAACCAGAACUGGGCCCUCGGCCCAUCAUUGCUAAAGAGUGCGCCACCUCUCAUAUAUGACGUUAAUGAGCGUUACAUAGGAGGUCUCAUAAAAAGUGGUAUAUUGGCUGCUUCAAGAUAA
Molecule: long non-coding RNA, 58133 nt
Filed under: Triticum aestivum (bread wheat)
Lineage: Eukaryota; Viridiplantae; Streptophyta; Magnoliopsida; Poales; Poaceae
Description: long non-coding RNA (TAES_LNC023470)
Source: RNAcentral